GGAGGGCCGGGGUACGCCGCCCAGCCGCCCGCCCCGCCUGGCUGCGGCGCGGAGCUCCGGGGAAAGACCGUCGUGUUUGAACGGGGACAGGCGGCCGUGCGUGCGGGCAGCGCGGCGCUGGCACCCACGGGAGCAGGCGGCCUCGGUGCCGGGCUCCGGAGCGGAUGCCGAAGCCCAUGUGCACAGUGUUAACCCCGGGUAGGGAGCGGAAAGAGGGUAUAGAGCGGUCCUUACAAACCCGUGUGCAGGUGUGACUGGAAAAAAGAAAGGGAGCGGCCACCUUUUAUUGGGCACUGAAGCUCCUGAAUUAUAAGUAGCAAUAACUAGAUCGCCUUAACACUGGGUUAGUUGGUUUCUUUUUUCCUCUGGUGCGGCAUAUUGUGCGUUAUCGUGUAAGCCGUGCCGAUGCGUCCGGGGCACGGCAGAGCGUGGCUGCCAGAGUGGCAUCGGUGCCCAGUGUUCCUGCUCUCCUGGCAGCCGCUGCUGCAGCCCGCCUGGCUUCCCGGGAGGUCUCCCUGGGGCCGGGAGUGAGAAAAGCAAACUCUCAAGUUGUGCCCGGAGAAAAGUUGCCCGACUGGGAGUGUCGGGGGAUCCUGAGAGUCGGCACGCACCCGCUCCUGCUUGGUGCUGAGUUCUUUUCUGGUUCUUCUGCAAAUCCAGGGGAAGGGCAGGCUUUGCCUAGGAAGCUUGCCGUAGUCAUAUGGAGACAAGUGGAAAAAGAAAACAACACGUCUUCUGAGUGGCAUCUCGCCUUGUUCUGUCUUCUCCUCUCCUGGCCAGAGCUGGAAGAGAGGAUGAGGACGGCCGGAGCAGUGCUGGUGCCAGUUCUCCCCACUCGUAGCCUCUCCUCAAGAAACACGCCUGUGUCAUCGUGGUGAAGAACCAAACCCAACAAAAGUUGAAUCUCUGUCGAAGGGGGGUCCGGGGGCGCCGAGCCCGGCGGCUCCUGCUCGCGGAGUGCUCGGCGGCGGCGGAGCGCUCGCCGCGGCUUGGAUUUGACCUGCAGAGGGCAAUAGUUGGACGCAAAUGCCAACAAAGGCGGCGGGGCUCGCUGGCUCGGCGCCGCGGCCGGGACCCGAGAAUGCUGUGUAGCCCACAUUCAUCUGAGAGGCGAUCGCCGGGGACAUGGGAAGCAAGAGCAGCCGCCGAUGUGUGAAAGCAACGAGACAUGGCCAGCCAGAGGCGCCGGGGUCCCUUCAUGGGGUUUGUUAACAUGGUAAUCCGGCACCAGGAGAGAAAGCUGCUUUCUGCUGCCCAGAGCCCAUUCCCCAUCACACAUCAGAUGACUCCCUGGUUUUACACACAGUUGGAGUUCUGCUCGAAACCUGGAUUUAAAGGGAAUCUGUUGCUGCGUAUGACAUCUCUUGCAAGCUCCCAGAGAGAAUUGAUGGAGCAUACAGCUAGGGAAUAGGAUACCAGAGAAGCACAGAGGAAGAAACCAGGCAAUCACCAGGAUGGAAAGGUUCAGCGUCCAUUGGAUAUGGGACAAGAUCGCUCGGCAACCCUUGUGGAUUCUCCUUCUUCUAGAGGCGAAUUAUAGUUAUGGAUUUAUUGUCCCAGUGCCGCACUUCCACCACCACCACCAACAACAGCAGCAGCUUUCUGACUCUCUUCGGUGACGGGUAUUCUUGGGUGGAUAAUACGGAUUACGUUGUUAUUGCUUAAGAAUACGCGUAGUCGAGGAGAGUACCGGCGGCGGGCAGGCAGGCAGGCAGCGCGACCGCCCCCAGCCCACCAGCUGGCUCCUCACCUCCUCUAGUUGCCAAGGUAGCACCUUUUCCAUCUUUUCCUACGCUUUGCAAUGUUUCACUCUGUGUCUAUGCCCGGGCGGGGGGAGCUCGGACGCCCUCUCUUGAGGAAGGGGGUGCCCGCUGUGUGUGUGUGUGCGUGGGAGCAAGCCCAGGGCUGGGGAGGGCCGGGUAAAGGCUGGCCAAGCUCCGCGGGUAGGGGGUGACCGGGAGAGCCACGGCCGCUGCGGGGAGCGCAUCCGCGGGCAGCGCUCGGCAGGCGGGGGGAAGGCGCUCUGCCCGUCCGGACAGCCCCCGUGUCCCGGCACUCGGCCGGCAGCUCCCAGCCCACGCCACCCGCAGCCCCUCGCUGCUCGCCUGCCGGGGGUCCCUCCCCGCGGGACACGGAGUGCCCGCAGGGCCGGGGCGGCCCCGGCUCUGCCCGCACACGCUGGCAGAGCCUGGGCUGCCGCCCCCUCGGUGGCCACGGCCCCCGCACCCACAGCAGCCGAGUCAUGCGGGGCUGGGGGUGCUCGCGGGCGGGGAGGUGCCGAGCACCCGUGCUAGCGAGGCGAGGGGCACCUCGCACGGCCGCAGAGCGCCCGACUCCCGGGGAAGUCCCUCUUCCCCGGCUGCCGAGGUGUUCGGCCACCCAGCGGGGCCGCUACUGGCAAAGAGGUUGUGGACGGUUGCUUUCAGGGAGAGUCAUGAUCCUCUUACCUCCUUGUCCUCACCCUGCAGUACCAACCUAGUGAAGGCAGGAUUAAGAAUCCACUUCACACCAGUCCCAGCCCAAUGUAGAGUUUGUCAGCUUCUGAGACCCCAGGUUGAGACACAUGUUCAGGGCAAGAGCUGAGGGAUUGUUUUGCCCUUUGCAGCUCAGGUGGUGGCUUAUUUGCCCCUCUCCCAAGAGCUCAGGACUCCCUAAAUGCUGUUUGCAGCUGGACUGGUGGGAAACACGACCAACGGAGUGUUGAUUCUCCUUGUUGGCCAAGACAUGCCCCAUUGCUUUAACAUAGAAGAGGUUCAUCUGAUCCUCUCUCCAAUCUCAGCAGCAGGGUACAGGCUUUGAUUAAAGCCUGGUUAGUCUUUAAAUGCUGUGCUUAGGAAAAUCUUAGGCAUAGCAUUCAUAGUUCCAGUCUUUUUUCCCCUGCUCCUCUGCUCACAAGAGUGGCAGAGAAAAGGAGCAGGGUGUGAUCAUCCCUGUUUUCCCAUUUGAGACCUCUCCACAUCCCCAGAUGAUUCCAGGUCUUUUUGCCACGUAGUCACAAUUGUGAGACCAGAUUUCAACCUUAAAUGAAUUAGAUCAGAAGCCAUUUUAAAGCAAGACCAGGAUUACUGUGAUGAGACAGCCUUUUUGAAUGGAUCCUUCCUGAAGCUCAGCUAUGAUGAGGCUAGGAACGAUUUUUAAUGUGGACAAGAUAGACAUGGGAUGAUUGUUAAGUUGUGAGUGCGAGGCGGGAUGAUGGAGAAUGUCUUUCUCUCUGUCUCUUGCUUAGAGAUUGAAAGGCUGUCUAUGUUCUGCCUAAUUAUUUCCAACAACUGCCAAAGGAAUCUUACUCUGUUGCCUUCAGUAGCAAGUGGAGCGCUACUUGUUAUACAGACGUGUGGAUCUGUUAUUCUUUAGACACAUCUUUGAUGCUAGCACUCUGAUCCUUGUGUUCCUCUAAUACCACUUGAAAGCAGAUUUUUUCUUCUAGUUUAGUAUGUUCAACAGCCUCAGAAACAAUGUUAAAUUAUGCUUUAAAAAGACAUGAUCAGCUGCUAAAUCAUAGUCAGUUCAGCACCAUAACACAGCCACAUUCACAAGUGCUGCAGGAACAGCGAUGGAAAUACUAUUUAAACAUCCAGGUUUGUAUUACAAACCUUCCUCUGAUCUGAGCUUUUAGUUGACAUUUUCCCUUGAGUCAUGCUUAGAGUAUUAUUAGGAGUUCCCAUUUCAUCACGUAAAGGAUUUGUUUGCUCUUUGCUUGGUUGAGUACCUUGUGCAGUAUGGAUUGGACUGGUACCCAUAAAUACAAGCUUAGCAAAUGGUUCUUUUACUUGCUUUCUUCUAGUUGCUUUCUGUUUAGCAUGAUGAGAUGGUUUUGCUGAAUAAUGCCUUAAUGACAGGGCUGAUGCAUUUUUAAUGCAUGUACUCUUUGUCAUUGUCAAAAUUAACAUUUUGAUGAUUGUAGACUUCUCUUCACUAAAAUCUUUUGGGAAUUGCUAUGCUAUGUGGGUUAAAAGAGUUAAAGUGUAAGAUUUGAUGUGAGAAAUACUGGAUAUGCUUACCAAAAUUAUUCUAAAAUAUUGUAUAAGGGCUCUUGGAAUGAUGCUUCCCAAUAGCAUGAUCUCAGAGGGGCUCCCCCUGUUCAUUAGCAGUUCCUGGGGUCUGUCACAUAUGCAUAUUUCUGAACAACAGAUCUCUACGAAGUGACUAUUCAUAUUGCAGGGAUGAUCCUGGGAAUGCACAUAGAUUCCAUGGGACUUGUUCAGGGGACCAAGGUUGUUCAUGCUAAAUUCAAAAUAUUUGGGGCCAAAUCCUAACAUUCAAUGCAAUAACAAAGCCCCAAUUGAUUUCACUGCGGGAAAGAUUAGACCCCUAGUGAAAGGGAUUUUUUGCAAUGCUACACUUCCUACUUUUUUGCUUUAGAAAUUGCAAAUCCUGUGUGCUAAAAAAUGACUCUAAAAACCCCCUGCCUCUAAUAGUCUAAUGAUAUUUUAUUAACAGCAAAAAUUACACUAAAAGUUUAUAGUGGAACAUAAUAAGAAAUUACUUUAUAAAUAAGGGGUUUUAAUUGUACCAGUAUGAGCAUUUUCUAGGACACUUUAGAAUGAGGUUUGUGGCAGCACCAACCUUGCGUUAACAGCUAUUUUGGUGAGUGCAUAUCUAAUUAAUUCAGAAUACUGAAUUUCUGUUCUAAAAUGGCUUUUGUAAUCUGCAUCCUAGUAGAAAAUUAAAUAAAGAAUUAGCCCAAAAAUACUUACUUGAACUUAGCCAUGUCUUUAAAGGCCAUAAUCCUAUGAAGAUUUAUAUCUCUGGGUAAUUUUAUCCACUGGAGUAGCCUGAAAGGCUGCUGCCAUAGGUAAGUCUUUGUCAUGCCAGAGCCCACAAAGCAGCAUAGCCGAUUGAUGGCAGAGCAGAGACUGGUGUGGCAGCUGUCCUGGUGCAGAGCUGGGAGCGUGCAGGGCCCCCCUGCAGCCACCCAUGAUGCUGGCUGUUCCCCACCCUGCUCCGUGACUGCUUGGGCCUUCCUGGACUGGGGAACUGCCCAAAGGACUGUGCUCCCAAGCACCAUGGGUACAUCGUGCCCCAUGGCAGGAGUGGGAGAAGGAAGAGUAGCUUUGGUCCCUACUGUCCUGUGCAGGCAGGGUCACAGCCCUGCCUGGGUCUGCCUAUAAUGUGAAGCACUGCUCUGCUUAGCAGUAUCCUGAAUUAAGUGACGGGGACUGCCAUUUGAUUUCAGGUGCCCUUUCCGCAAAUAUUUAAGCCUACAUCCCUUAUAUAUGUAUAUAUCUCUGAAUGGAAUGAAUAUAUAUGCACACACCUCUCUGAAGGGAGGCUACAGCAUAGUAGAAAAGCCCCAUUCUCUCAGACCUGAGAGAGGCACAACACCCACUCACUUCAGCAGGGGCUGUGCUGUUACAGUGCGUAUUUAUGACCAGUGUUAUGAUUCCUCUUGCUGCUGCAAAUUUGCCUAAAAUAAAUGUCCACACUGCUGAAUGUAGAUAUGUACAGUUACGCAGAUGCCUUUCCUCGGGAUCAAUUCUGCUUGCUUUCUGCUUUUCAGACUACAUCUGAUUUUGAGAGGAGUGUAAGUUUUCUUCCCAUAACAAGUUAUUGUCUUUUAUGUCAGUUGAGGUGGCUUCUAGUGUUCAUAGGGUUUUCUUGAGGAAAUUAAAAACAGUAAUACCUAUACAUCCACACAGCUAGACACAUACUUUGCAACUGUAAGAUUAAGCUAACUAGCCUUUUUCUCUGCCUUUUUACAUCAUUCUAGCAGUAAUGUACACAACUGGAUUUUUAUGCGUUUUUAAAAAUAAAUAAUGUCUUUAUAUAUACCAAAGGCUUUUUCUUCUUUUCCUUUUAAUAGAUUACUAUUUUUCUGAAAAGCACCUCCCCCAGGUAUUACCCUUAGCUGCUAUGACACCUCACCGUUUAGUGUUGCAAAAGUAAAUCAUAACACUCAUUAUUAAGAGCCAUAAAUUUGUACCAGAUUCAUCAUAUACCUCCUGAAAGCUUUAACGGUAGAAACAUUUCCUGGGCUAACGCCCAUGAUGAUUGCAUGCUUUUUAUUGCUAUCAUUUAGUAACCAAAUUGCUCAAAAAUCAAAGGACUUGAUUAUCACAUACCUGCAAUGCUUAGAGCUAUUUAUAAAAGUUGGCUCGAUAAUAAUAAUGACUCAAAAGAAAUUUAAAUGACAGGCCAAAAAUAAGUAGUCUAAAAGUGAAAAACCAAGCCAGAAUUCACAGAGGUGAUGGAAAGAGUCUGACACCAAAGGACAGACAGGAUCCUGAGGAAGGUAGAGAGAAGAGUCUAGGAGGUGAUGGUAGAAGGUAGAUGUGACCCAGCUUUGCAGAGACAGAGGGUAGAGGAGAGGUGAAGCACCAGGGACUGUAGGCGAGGAGGUAUCGCAGUGUGGCGCUCGGAGUAUGCACCAGAAGUGUUGAAACCAGGGCUGGAACAUCACACAUGUUUGGUAGUUUGCUUUCUGGAAAAACAGUAUUUAGUUAAAAGCAGCCAACAGAAAAUUAGGUGAAAUGUUCCAGAAACUAGAGGGGGCUGAUUGAUGGGAAAAAUAAGAGCCCUGAAUAUAUAGCUGAAGGGCAGGGGUUUGUAUAUAAAUGUAUGAAUAUACAUACCUAGCCAAAAUUACGUAAUAAUGCCCAUAUAGAUAAACAAAAUGAGCAUCAUGCUUUUGAAAUCGUUCUCCUACAGAAACCAGUGGGAAUUUUCCAUUGAUAUCAGGAGGGAUCAGAAUUUCUCCUGUCUACAGGAAAGCAAUGUAGCCUGGUGUGUGCAAACAGACCUUAAGCUAUGUAUGGAGAAAAUGCAGCAUGGCUAUCAAGAAACAUUCCCUUUCAGUGAACCCAAUACCCCUCUAUCCAGUGAGAAUGAUAUAAAGUAAUGGAACAAUGUCCAGGCAGGAAAGCCCUUGCCUUAGAGAUAUAAAAUUACCUUAGACAAGACAUGGCAGGCAGUAGUCACCCUAUGAGGGCUGGAGAGCCACCUGGGGAGGCCUUUUUGCCUCUGACUGCUGUGACACACCUCCAUGGAGCUGAAAUGACUCUGAUAAUUCCCCAACACUUUAUACCACUGAAACAAAGAGGUAGGCCCAUAAGAGGUAACCUAAACUUUCCAAGCUACUCUAGAGUAUUUCAGAUUAAGUCAAUUUUAUCUGUUUCAGGGGCAAUUGUCACCACUGUAUUCUAUAUCAGCUCAUCUGAGUUGUAUGCAGUGUACACCCCUUCCACAUAAUUUCAUUAGGCAUGAAAUGUUGGAAAAAUAUACCUGUCUUUUCUUUGAUAUUAACAAUUGCUGAUUCAUAACCUUGCUUGGAAAAUUAGCGGUUCUCUUACUAAAUCAGGACAACAUCACAAAGUUUAUUAAUGGUCACAGGUCAGGCCUAUCUUUUAAAUCACUGGCAAUCAAAGAUAAAGUGAUCAACAUGGGACUGGUCUUCUCUAAUUGGAGAAAGAGGAACAUUCUGAACCAGAACAGUACAGCAUGCAAUUGUGCAGCCUGUUACCAAAAAAAGAACCAUCUUGCUGCAUCUUACAGAGGCAUUUACAUAGAUAAUAUAGGUUUCAUAUGACUACUUUUAGAUUAUCUGAUAGUAAUAGCUUUGCAAGUCUUCACAUUCUCCUAACAAGAAGAUGAUAGAAAAUUCAAAUAAAAAGACAUCACUAAUUAAUGCAUUAUAAAGGAUUUAUUUUAUUUCUUUAAGUUAGGUGGAAAAUAGUAAGAGCAUGGAGGCUUCACACUAAUGCUUCACACGAUCUGGAAACUCAUCCUUUAACAAUCAUUCUUCAGGAGAUAACUUACCUGGUUACUCCACUAAAUGUAUUUUGUAUUACCUCUUCAUUAAGUUACCAUAAAAUAUUAUCCUGAAAUCCAAAGUUAUACAGGUUAUUACUUGCUGUUUUACCAAAGCAACAGUUAUUACAAUCUUGAUGGCCUGGUUGUUAUGACCACUAUGGGAAAAAAUGUUUCUUGUUCCCCUACUUUCCUCCACUGCCUGGCUGUCUCCCUUUCUGUUUAUGAUACGUGCAAAAGAUUUGAUGGGAUGGAAGGGAUUUUCUUUCUCAACAUCUUUUAUUUUAGAAAUGUCAGGAUCAUUUAAUCCUCUAGUAAUUGAACCAUAGAGGAGAGCAGUGGAAGCUUUCUCAGACCUCUAUUUAAGAGGUGGUGAAUUUUCUGUUUUUAAGAAAGAGACUUUUUUCCCUGUGUGUUUGCCAAGGUAUGAGUUAAGCAGAAGACAAUAACAUAAUUCCUUUCAAGGUUUCAGUACAAUCCUUUUCUUUUUGACUACUCACUGUCCUUUGUUGUGUUAUGACAUCAUGUGGCUGUCACAUCGUGUGUCUAUUGCACAUGUGAUAACAUAAAUCCAUUUGCCUUCAGCUGAUCAUAGAGCCUCUUGGUGAAAACUGGAUCUGCAAGUCCUGGUCUAGGAAUCAAGAGGCAAACCCCACUCCCUUUUGCUCUCCUUGUUCAGGUGCUUGUCAUUUCUGUGUAUGUAAAUUCUUACCAGUGGAGAAGGCAGGACCAGUCCAGACUCUCAGUUAGAAAUGAACAUAAACAUGUUAAUUUUCCUUGGCUGGAGCUGCAGUGAGGCGGUGCUGCUUGCUCUGCUCAAGCCUCCCUGGUAAAGAGGGAGGAAUAACUCCAGCAAGGAAAAGGAUGCUGAAUGGGCGUGAUCCGAAAUCCAAGAAAAAAACCCAAAAUACAUAAAUCCCCCAUAAAAUACUGUAGUUUUUAGGUUUUAAUUUUUGCCAAAUACGACUCUAUUUAAAGUAUUUCACAUUUCCUGGAUGCAAAACUUAAAUAUGUGCCCUGUAGGAGGCUCAGAACAAUAGCUCUGCUUUCUCUAAUAAAAUCUCUCUUCCGAGAUUAACUCUGGAGCUAGCAGUGAGGUCAGUGUUUCAUUUCAUAUAAGUCAGCUCAUGCUGACAAGGGUUUGGCCUUCUUAGUGAUGGGCCGUUUGCUGCUCAGAAGUGUGAGGAAUGGCUUUCUGAAAUAUCGAUAACUUGCCUUCACUUAGAGUUCAUGAUCAAAUUUAGCUGGCAAGUAUCAAUGCGCUACAGCCAGACUGCAGGGCUGAGAGGCUCAGGCCUUGGGCCAGCCGCUAAGGUCUGCUUUUUAAAUCAGGGGCUAACUCUUCCAUUAGUUUAAAUCAGUGGUUUGUAACAAUAUCAAAUGAGAUUUGUGUCAGAGUAGCCCAGACUACAACCUUGUCUUGGGGUUUGAAAAGGAAUAGAAAAAUUAGGCUGCAACCAUUAGAAUUCUGUUUUCAUUUGGUUUUGGUGUGCAUAUGUGUAAAUGUGCCUAUACACACAUGCACACGUGCAGAGCUGCAUUUUGUUCCCAUGGACGUUUCCCAUGGCCAUGUGGCUGCCAUUUAUCAUGGACCUAAGAGCACAAAAUCUUCCUCCUGGUGUGGUUUGAUUGACAUGUGCAGAGAUCUCACAUAAAGGAUCUGGGAUCCCGCUUUUCAACCAUAAAAGGAAAGCAGGCAAGCUUCAUCCCCGGCUAAACCCUUUGCACAAUAUACACCAAUAAUGAGGCAGCAUCUAUUUAUACAUUGCUUACUGGAAAUGACUGAAUUCAGACAGAAGCUGGUGAGGCAGCCUGGGCUCCACCAGCCUCCAUGGAGUCUAUUGUUAGUACCCAGGAUGAAUCCUCAGGCAAACGGAGAAGAGAGGCAUGAUUUGGAGCCUACCGUGCCACAGGAGGCACUUGGCACUUGGCAAGUGGUGUCUCCUCUCAGAGAAUGCCUUCACUGGCUCUGCCAGAACCCGGCAGUCACAGAGGAGGAAUGCAGGAGAAAUGGUCAUAAGAGUGCAGCCCCGUUGCUGCUCCCCUGGGAAGUAGGAUGCUGACUCGGGUUUAUCUGCAGGGUGGGAGCUCCCUACCUUUCUUUAUGAGAAAAGGAGGUGUCCAAGAGGGAAUGGGAGGAAGGCAGUACUAUCUUGAUGCACACUGAUGCCUUCUUGCCAUCUUGUUGCAGAAGGUUUUCAACAAUAUUUCUUUACCUAGAAAAAGCAAGAUGCAAUAGAAAAGCCCCAUCCAGCAUUAUGGCAUUGGUUAGAUAGGCCUGUGUGGCUGAUCGUCCAGUGACGAGGCUGAGGUGCAGUGCCAAUACGUGCCUGUGACAAUGAAAACUUGCUUGUCUGUUAGAUAUUUAUCAUAAAAAAAGUACUCAGAACCCCUUAGCAAAGCAUUAUCCAGACAGUGCUUUUGCUCCAUGUCCUUUUCCACUCCUUUUCUCUGUGGCUCUCGUGUACUUUACCCAUAUGCUCUAAAGCUGUUUUGUUUUCAGUUUUAUGUAUGUUUUAUGUAAAUUAGAAGAAUCAAGCUUCUCUGCUUGCUAAAUUAUAAAUUGAGUGGAAAUUGGCCGACUCUCUUUAGACCAUGUCUAUAAGUUAUACAAGAUGUAAGUAAUCAAGCUGAGCAGGCUGGGUUGGAGAGGGAAAACACAUCAAUAGCAUGGGCCACGUGAGCUGCAUCCAUGUGUCCCUGUAUACUGCUGCUUGCUUUCGGAGCCUCGAAUCUCUCUUUGCUCUAAAGUGGUAAUGUAACUCCUUUUAGAGCAUUCUCUGAGAUGCAGGUCUAUUGCCUCCUUUGGUAGUUUGCUUGGCAUACUCAGUACACCUUGUGUAAAUGAACUGCUCUGAAAUGCCUGUUUCCACUCUCUUGCUUUAGGACCAGAGCAGAUCCAGACUGCCUCCUCUGGGAGCACUGAUUCAUUUUCCUUCCCUUCUUCCCCUUGUAAGUGAAAAUGCCUUUUGAUUUUAGUGUCUGUCUCCUUGGUUUACCCCCUGCUUUGGCUCUACUUCCCAUACCCCAUGCUACCUUUCAUACGCUUGAGUUUUGCCCUGGGUUAUCUUUUUCUCAGUAGCCCACUGCAACCUCACAGAGCAGGACUGCAGUGCAAGAGCAGAAGCCUGGCAGUGGCUGGCAGCCUGAGAAAUGCUGCCAGGAGAGCAGGGAAGUUAGCUGGUGUCUUGGGACUCAGUGAGACAGUGGAGAAUCUGCUACAGGGCAGAAAAGAGUCUUACCGUGGCCUUUUAUUGCAUUAGUUAGACCAAGUUUUAGGAAAAGGGGCCUAAAAUCAGACUCCUAGAUCUAUCCUUACACAACCAGGAAGGACUAGUAGUAUUAUAAGCAGAUAUGGGCAUGAUGCUGCUCUAGCCUGAAUGCAGGGUUCCUCUUAAAACUGUCAAUUUUCAGAUGGUUGUGACUAUCCAAACUGCCCCUAAGAGAUGAGACUGAUUGCAGCCUCAACACAGCACAGACAUUGGCUGCACUGGCAUCUGCAUGCUGCCAGUGUCCAGCAGCACUGACUGAGAUCAGCCUUGUGCUGCUGCCAUCAGCCUGUCCACCCCAGGAGCACCAAGCCAUGUCGGGGGGCAGAGCUCCGGCUAGCUCUGCUCUCUAUCUUGUAGUUCCACACCCACCAGAGAAUAGAAUAAAACGUCCUCAGAGAGGCAGUGUAGUGCAGUUUUCAUCAGUUCCUGACCAACUUUUUAAGCCCAUGGCAUCAUGGAGAUUGAAUGUCAUUACCAGGUUAGAAAAUUCAGGUUAGAAAUGUAUUGCUGUGGGGGGGAAUUGUGGGCGUUGGGUGGGCUCUGCAGGCAUGGGCCCUGGGCACAGAACAUUAGUGGGUAGCCUGUUCCUGUGUCCUGCACAGCCCUAUUCCUGCUGAUUCCUGGGGUGUCCAUGCAAGUCCCCAAGCCCUCACAGCCCAGCCUGGCUGCUGAGAGGUGCUGCUCUUAGGGCACAGCACGCUUUACUGACUCUGGUGGGGCAGAAGCAUGUGCUCUGCUAAAGGGGAUCCCAACCGAGUAGUCAGAUGGCCUUCAGGAGCUUUGGGCUAGAACUUGCAGGGCACAAACUGGAUCCUCUCUGCUCAGUCUCUGCCCUGCAGUUAUUUGAGUUUGGGCUCUCUUUCACCGAGCUCAUAAAAUACAUGCUUUUUCUUUUAAUUCAUUAAAUGCUUUGAUUCAGUGAUAUACCAUCAGAAUGUGGUUUAUUCUGUCCAGUCAAAUCUUUACUGAGGAUGAUAAAAAAUAGCCAACCUGCCUUUUUAGAGCUGCUUAUUUUACUUCAAAGGGAAGGCAUAACCUUUCAUUUCCUGGUGAGAUUUUUAUUAAACCUCUGCCUAUUUUAUUUGUCAGGCCACAUAUAAGUUUACUAUCACUUGUGUUUCCAAAUAAAAGGUAUGUAGGUUGGUAAGUAGUCUGUAAGUCUAACUGCUAUUCCUUGAAACUCAUAAAAGGAUGAUUUUAAACCAUGGAAUCACUAAUUAAAGCUGCUUCUCAAUACACAAAAAUUAAGUUAACAGUAAUUAAUGUAGCCAGCCUGGAACCUUAGGAAACUACUGCCAGCAAGUGUCUUUUGGUGCACUCAAGAGGAUGCAGUUUGAUUGUUGGCACCAACAGACAGGUUGGGAAUUGUAAACAUGGUAAUUAGCAAUAAGUUUCUGGAUCUCAACUUGCCAGACUGGCAGUCUGAUUCUUGGAGUAGUUGUCGCAUGGGAGGAGGGAAAAACAAAGUAAGGGAAUUAGAGCAACCUUGCAUUGCUCUGCCAACAUAUGCCACUGGACCACUGUUUUUCUUGGCAAAGAUCUCUGAGAAGGAGUUUAAAAGCAGCAUUGCAGCCCUACUGCAAACUGUGAACCUCACUGCAGGCAUCAACCAAGCAACUGUCUCUGGCUCUUCUGCUCAAACUAUGAGUGCUGCUCCAUGGUAAGGAAUUGUAGAGUCUGAUAUUCUUCUACUCCACCUUUAUGGUGGGGCACAGUGUUGAUAAGGUUAUCAACAAUAAUGGGAUUAAAAGAGUUAAAAUCCAGCUUUUGCAGUAAUCCCAGAGUAUUCUAUUGUUGAGCUAUCAAAGAUUAAGGUUAUAGUAACCUUAUUAAUCCUUGGUGUAGUAUAAAUAAAAAGGAAAUGUCAACCUUAAUUCCACCAUGAAAUUAAAUCUUCACUUCUCUAAAUGAUGAUUCAAACAUAGUUUACUGCAGCCAAUGUGGUUAAUGAAAAUGCGUAACCCGUGUGAAUUUAAGAAAUCCCCUUUGAGAGACAGAGAGGGAGAAAGGGGUGAUAAACCAUGGCAUUUUUUUUGUUUAAAAUGAAAAAAGUUAAUAUUUAUCCAGCUGGUAUGUCUGCAGGAACCAUACCUAGAGCCAACAAAGUGUGCAAAGAAUAAGAUAGGGACGAAAUGCUCAUGGUGUACAUCCCUGUGACGCAGUGAACACAGACCCCAGACUGCAGCAGAACAGCCAUCUCUGUGCCAGACAGCAGCCACAGCACUGCUGGUGGUGACCUCGACCCUCUCCCCUGCUUGCAGGGCACUGUGUGGCCUUGUUAGUGCUGCCCCAGAGCCACGGACAGGAUGCCCUGACACAAGAGUUUGAACCGAGCAUUGAUCCACCAGUGCUUUCAGUGCCAGAGACAAUGUGACGAAAACCAAAAAAUGUCAGAAAUAAAAUGGUUGCUGAAUGUUCUGGAAACAGUGAGCCAGGAGCUUUUGUGAAGGGCACAGGUUUUCCUUGCUAAGCUGAUUUCUAGGGGAUGGGAGUUGCCCUUUUUGGUAAUGGAUGGUUUCCUCCUCACCUGUGCCAGACACAACUGUGUUCCCCCUGCUCACAGAGGUUGAAUCUGUAAGUAGGUCUGAAACUGCCUGCUGGUACUUGCUACCUGAAGAGAGGGAAGGACAGACAGACUGAACUUUGCUUAUAAGUCAAUGGAAUGUGGUCCAGUUAAAUCCAUGUUUCUUUGUGGGAGCAGGAGGGGAAUUACGGUAAGGAGAAGUGGGCUAUGCACCCUUUGGUAUGCUUUUUUGACUGGGAGGAAAAAUAAAGUAGUGGUAAAAUGGGGUGAUUCAGAAUGAUUCUGCAUGUUAAGUAUCUCAAAUGCUCACUCCUAGUGUAGCAAAGUGGUAAUUAGGUAUUAAGGAGCUUCCUACAGCAGGAAUUGAACUCUUUUAGGGCAGAGUCAUUGCUAGAGAAAAAAAGACGGUUUUAGUGGGGCUCUUCCUGAGGAAGGUGGCUUUGUCACUUCAGCAAACCUGUCUGCCCCAUAUUAUCUGCAUCUCUUGGGAAUUACUGGUUCUGUGGACUGAUAGAGCUAGACAGUGUGCUGGAGAGUGUCUUUUCAUAUUGCUUUCUCCAGUCCUCAUAAACUCUGAUAAAGUUGUGUAACGAAACUCGGGCUCAUAAAAGAGCUCAUUUUAAGAUGGUAUUUUCCCCCUUCACUCACUGAAUCAUGCUCUGCUCUGGUGUGCAUUGUUACAGCUCCAGAGCGUGCACCAGUUCAGAUGUGCCCGCUGGGUCCUGGGCUGUCUCCAUCCCCACUACUGCUGCAAUUGCUACCACAAACACAAAUUGGCUCACUCAGGCUCUUCUUGUCUUUCUGCAGUGUAGGAAUAGAUAAUGGGCCCAUGGGGUCGUUCAGAAAUAUUGCUGGUUUCCAGUGCUGGCAUAAUAGUCCCUUCUAGGUAGUAUCCUUUUCCUGGACAAUUUCCCAGUAAAAUAGUAAAUGGCAACUGCAGAGCAGUAAAGGCGAUGGCGUAUUUGUUUGACUGACAUUUCGGAGCCUGCAGAGCAAAUGCAAUUAGGAUCCAUAGUGUGCUGCAGCUUCCUUUCUUCACUUCCCUACCUUGGAAGAUCUACUACUAGGAUCAACUUAAGUCUGGUUCCUGCUGCUUUAAAGUGGUGGAGAGGCUCCAGCGAGGGAGGGCAGCAUGUGCCUAAGCCCCUGUGGGUACCCUUUGCUUUGGGAGCAGUCGGCAUCUCACAGGGCUCAGCUGGGACAGGAGCUGCUGCCACUCCCCUGCCGGCACUGCAGCUCCAGGUAGGAGUGAUUUUGUUAGUAGGUGUGUGCUUCCCCUUGACUUAGCAGAGUUGUUGAAACCAGGGUGGCCCUGCAGCACUCAGACUUGCACUCCUCACUGGGGAGAAAUUUCUGUCUGUGCCCACAGAUCUGUGCCAGGCAAAGCAACUGAGGGUUUGGGCUGCCCUGGUCUUCACCAGGGGCAACUGAUGCUUUCUUUGGAAUUUUGCAGGAUCAACAGUUGAUGCACUGUGAACACUUUGGUACACACUUGACAUCAGAAAGAAAUGUGAAAAAAGUGGUGGUCAUCAUUCAGAUUUGUCUGAAGGAAGUAAUUGAAAACAAAUUGCUACCAAAAGCCAAGGGCCGUGGUUAAUUGAGGUGGAGCACUGUAGGUCACUCACCUGUAGGAAAAGACUGUUAAAGAACAGGCAGGGGUCAAAAUUGUUUCUGUCCAGGUGGGAAAAGAGAGUCUCAGCCAUAUAAUUUGGUUUGUAGGGUUAUUCUGUUUCUCAUAGAUCCUGACAUGAAAAUCCAGGCCUGCAGAGCAAUGCUUUAAUGGCUGGAAAUAAUGCAAUCGGUGAAAGCAGGGGCAGCUAUGGCUUGCUGUGGUGGCAGGGCAGUGGCCAGGCUGUAGCAUCCCUUCUGCCAUGGGCAGGUCGGAGCUGGCCCCUGUAGGAGAUGCACGGGCAGCUGCCGAGUUCCCUCUUGGCAGAGUGGGGGCUGCAAUGUGCACAGAGCCACCGCCCUGCCAGCCUGCUCCAGCUGUGAGUUUUAUUUUCCAGCUGGAACAUUGCUGCCAUGUAUUGUUUAGUUUAUUAACAAAUUUAAAUAUCACAAUCUUUUCUAUUCCUGGUGCUUCUUGGAUGUCCGGACUCAGGCAGACAUUGAUGCCUGUGUAAAUUGGUGAAGCGUUUUGCAGCAGGUCCUCUGGACACAGAGGCAGGGGAAGCAAUGACGUGGGGUGGCCUGGACCUGAUGCCCAGGGGUAAUAGGAGGAGUCUGCCCUCACUGGGCUGUGGCUCUGCAGGACAAAACCUCUUUGUUUCUCAGAGAAGCUCUUUCCAACCCGCUAAAGCUAUUGCUAGGAUUCAAGAGAUGAAAAUAAUGAUGAAAAUGAUGAUCUACUAAAUUUGAUCUACUACGUAUUUACUAAAUUGCCCUUUUUCUAGAUAUUUUGUGUCAGAGCUCCUGCAGGGUAAAAGCCAAAUUUCUUCAGCUUCCUAUAUCUGGUGACAAAUUCCACACCAGCCUCUUUCAGGGCAGGUCCUUGCUGCAGGCUCCUGCACUUUUGCUUUGUGUUCAGGUAGUCAAGAACAGGAGUGUGCUACAACCUGCACUGCUCUGUCUGCUUCCUGUGCCAAGGCUGCAAGUGGGGGAAAGCCAGGACAGUAUAAAACACGGGAACCAAAGUUUCUUAAAGCAGUCUAAAUGAAGGGCAAUCCCCUGAGUUUGUGGUAUUGAGUGUUGGCUGUAACAGCUCUGAGGGUUGGGCCAGCUUGAUUAGAACUUUGAUUUCAGCAUUUCAAAAAGGACUUUAAAUCCUACAUAUGUAGCACAAGUAUAAGGAUAUGAAUACUCCUAUCUACCCUGAGAUAUGGGAAGAAUGAUCACCUGGCUAUCCUUGGAAGAGAGACAGCUAUCAUACUUUGAUAGUUCAACAUACCUUCUAUAGAAUACCAAAACAUGCUGAUUUAUUUGACUUACUGUUAUUAUAGUCAGCUUUUGGGAAGAUCAGUAUUUGAGCCAUUUAUCUUCUUUUACAACAAAAAACCAAAUGCUGUCCAUGCAGCAGAGCCUGUCCCCAAAAAGCAAGGCUGGUGUGAUAGUGUUAGGGACAUGCAACUGUACUCCUCUCUGUGGGAGCCUUGCCUGUGUGAGGGCUGUGGGCUGUUGGGCUGUUCCCACGGGCUAUUGGGCUGCCCCCACAGCAGUGGUAGCUCUGCUGCACAGGGCACAUAAGCAGUUGCUGCGGAGGAAGGUUUCUUCUAAGGCCUGUCCUGGGUGGGCAGGGAUGGCACCCAUGAGCAGUGCAGCAGCAGCUGGGCUUUCCGGGAGGUUGUGCUGAGCUCCUGGGGCAGCACAGGUCCUCCCUGCCCCACUGAAAGGAUGGGGCUCAACAGCAUCAGCAGAGCCCCUGUGCUUUUGACCUUGGAUUUUCUCUCGUAUAUGCAUAAAGAACAGUGUGGUGUAAGAGGGUUUUAAUGGAAGGAAACUGAGGAAGCCAGUAAAUUAUUUUCUGUGGUAAACAUUUAUACUAAUAAUUUUAAAAAUUCAGUGAAAAUUUCUUUUUCCUCAGAAAUUGAGUAUUACCUUUAGUAUAUGAGAGCAGGAAUUCACUGAGUCAGGAAGGUCUCAGUUAAAGAAACUACAACUAAGGACCUAUCUCUUUAGGAACUCUCAGUGUUUCUACCAAUGAAUUUCCAAAUAGCUACUCUAAAGCUCUGGAAAUCUGAGUAUUAUUUCCAGAGGAUAUAUCCAUAAAAUGACUUAAGCCUGAUAUUCACAAAACAAAAGCUUUUGUUACAUUAAAUAAAUCCUUGCAGUUCUCUGGGUUAACUGGCUCCUCAGGGAAAAGCUGGGGACACCAGAUUGCCAGGUGGGUGGAGAAAGGUAGAGGGAAUUGUUCUGAGGAACCAAAGAGUCACAAUCCAGUAGUGUAACCCAUAUAGCACCCUCCCUGCCCAGCACUGUGCUUCCAGGCAGGAUUCAAGCCUCCAGUAUCUCGGGAUUCCUGCCCAAUUACGUGAAAUGAGUUCAGGAAAAAACCUGCUUAUUACACUAUGGUCUAGUUUUUAGAUCCAAACAUUGUACAUUGGGUGUGGAACCUCUCUGACUGACAGCUCUGAGUAAAGCACUUUCUAAGGUUAUGUAAAUGCCUAAAAAGAAGUCUAACCCCAAAUCUUAAUUGUGUAGCAGAUUUGAGUCCUGUUAAGUCUAGGCACUGCCAGAUUUUAAAGCCCCGCUGCUCCCUUACAUAAAUACUCAUCAAUAUUUACAGUAAGUGUCCUAAAAAGAUAUUUGGUUCCCUAUAUGAGCUAGAAGAAGGUGUUGCAGGGCUGUCCCAUCUCCACCGGUUGCAAGUGGCAUGUGGUGCUGCCCAGGGCUGCUCCAGCAAGGGCUGGGAAACUGGUCCCCUUCAAGUCCAGCCAGAACUGCACAUAUCACAGAUGAGAUCCCAGGCAGAGGAAUGAAGCUACUUCCAUUUAUGAUGCCCAGUAACAGGGCAAAGAGACCUUUCCUUCUGCCUGUGCUCUAGCAUGGCACAGAAACAAUUAUAAGACAUGUUUAUAAAUUCCACCUGGGUGUUGCAGCUCUUGCUAUGAAUCUCAAACGUGUAUUUGAGAUUUAUUAGUAUUGGGCUGCUUUUGACACAAAGGAUGUGGUGGACAAAGAGCAGCAGCUUCUGUGCUAGAAGGAAGCACAUAAAAAACUGUCAGUACACUUGUAAUUUCAUGCUUCUAAAUGUUGUUUUCGAAAUGCCAUUGUACUUGUAACUAUUCUGUGUGCAUUAAAUCUGAGGUGUAGAAUACUAUCUCAUAUUAAAAAUGUGAUAGCAGUGUUACAGUACCUCUAAUGUUUUUGUAAGAACUUUUGUUAGCUCUUACUGCCUUGUCCUUGGUGUGACUUAAGGCAGAAAAUGAAGAGCUUAUUGCAUUUAAAAAUGUUCAGAAAGAUGUGCUUAAGUAAAUAGAUAUCUUUAUUUUCAGUGUUGGAAUAAGUGUGUAAAAACAAGGGGAUUGAACAAUGGCAAAGUCCAUGUGAUAGAGCUCACUAAAUAGUGGUUGUGGUGAAUUUUGCAGAAUUGCCCAUGAGUAACUGGCAAAAUAUGUUUCCUAUAUCCCACAGUUUCUAGAACUAGCUGACUCAUUACUGCAUCCAAGGAGAGGUACCUUGAGUUGUGAUCUGAUGCCUGUUAAAAAUUGAAAUUGAUUUAUUUUUUGGAGGGAUUGAAUCAGGAUCCUAAAGGACCUGUGACAUUUUUCAAACAAAAUAUGUGUCGUUUCCUUUCUUUUUUUUUUUUUUGUUGCUUAUCCCAACCUAGAUAAGGAAUCAGCACUAAAUUACAGCAGUGCCCACCUCUCCUCUCCUGCAGGGAGCAAAUGAGAGGGACAGGACACUUGAAAAAAGGGAAAAGGUAGAGGAAAAGCACAGAAGGGAAUGAUUGGAAACAGUAGAGGAAGGGAAGAAAUAGGAAAAAGCAGAAAAAAAAGAGAAGCAAAAGCAGACAAGAGAAUGAAAAGCAAGAGAGAUGAAAAAGUAGUAGAAAAAUGAAAACAAAAGGGAAGAUUGAAUAAACAUGAGUAAGCUCAAUAAUUAAUUCUCUUAAUCUUUCAGUAUGUUCCUCAGGCAGGAGCUCAGUGUGAUUUGGUAGGUGUGGGAUUUUUUUGAAGCAAACCUCACCUCCCCCUGCCUCUCCAGUGCUGUCUCCAAGAGUUUUCCUCCCUCUUACCUUGGCGGGAGCUCUGCGGUGCCUGACGGCCGCCCCGUGGCUGCCCUGAUGAUGUGCUGCUGGUCAUAGGCUCUGUCUGAUGUUCAUCCACGCUCAGCUGACCCAAGGUCUAUGAGGAACAUGAGUUAGCACCAGUUCCCGGUUAAAUCUCAGCAGGUUUAUUGUUUACCAAACCGUGACAAAAGAUGAAGUAAUGUCCUAUCUGGCCACACACUGGGCUGUAAGUCCUCUUUUUCUUUUUUUUUGGUUUGGUUUGGGGUUUUUUUGUUUUUUUUUCUAAGAGGGAGAGCUAGCUAAUGUGUCCUGUUACUGUCACAAAAAAAAAAUAUCAGUGAUUGUGAUUUAGAGGAGCUAAGUGUUUAAAAUAAAAUAUACAUUCAGUGCUUUCACAUAAAGAUUUGAUGAUAACCAGGUGACUGCAAUCAAUACAUCCAUAUCAAAGCCCAGAGAUUAUUUUUGUAGGGUGUUUACACCUUAUCUCUUCUCUCAUUGUACCCUCUAACAGUUACAGCUGGGGAUGAUGAAAACACAUGUUCCAUGCAAUUAAUUGCUGCUGCCUUAUAAAAAGCUGAAGCCUAAUAAACUUCAAUAUGGAGUAAAUAUCAUCCUUGUGAAAGAGCAGUUUUGCCCUACUACUGACAGUGAAAGCAGAGCUAGUGAUGAGUCAGCCUUCAUAAAAAGACAGGUUAAGGUAAGAUUUAAGUUUGGCUUGGCGUUUCCAACCUAUUGGAAAUGACUUCUGGACUUGGGCAGGACAAGAGUUAAGAGCACAUCUUGCGUAAAUCUUUACCUCAUGUUUUGGAGAGACCAGUACGCUUGUCCUCUGGCAAUCAGAAACGUCGUCUGCCCUCGCACAAAGAGCAGAGCUCUGAUAAAUGCACUGAUUCCCAUUUGUGCUUUGCUUUCCUAGUCAUCAAAGCAAUUUUAAAAUCAAUAUGUUAUGUUUAGGAGGAAGGCCAUGUGUUCCUCACAGGGCAGGAAUAUCCCAUCCAAUCUGCGCAGGGAGAGUUAUCGUCCUAGACGCAGCACUUUGUACAAACCAAAGAAUAUAAAGAAUAUUCCAGGAAAGCCAUAAAGGGAGAUGACGCAGUAACUGUUUCUGGGAUGUUAAAAAUACAGUUGUGCUUACAAGCUGCUGCAUGAGCCUGACUGCAGCGUCUGGCUCUGGGUGACUGUGUGGAUGGCAGUUUCAUAGAUGUCAGCAAUGCAGGGUGAGCCCCAAGCAGGUCCUGAAAUUUUAACGCGUGAUGAGGCCAGGAGGCAGUUUGGUGCAGUGAUAAUAAUUUAUUUAAUGCAACUAAUAUAUGUAAGAAUGCAUCUGAGACAGUGUUGGGUCUGCCAAGAGCACUUUGUUUUGACACCACAAUGGAUCAAUUAGGGCUGGAGGUUGUAGGCUUUAGAACAGGACUGUGGGAUCAAGCUACUGGUUUUUAAUGCGUUUGAGCUGUUCUUAAAUAAAUCUUCAUUAGUUAGGGUGGCACCACUAAGUCUACUUCCUACUGAGCAGCAGGAAGAUAGAAAGAGCAUCUACAACAGUAAUAGUUUAACACAAAUGGAUUUAAACUCUGGUGUAAUAGGAAGCUUAUGGAGCUUGGAUGAGGGAUGAAGGAGGUGGGCAGAAAGAGAUAGAAACAGAGAGGAAAAAAUGCCCAUCUGGCUGCAGACAGAGAAGGAAUGCGUGUUCUCUCUUUUCUUCUGUCAGCUGAAGCACACCGCAUUGCACACAGAAGCUGUGAAUGCUUGUGGCACACCUACGAAGCCAUUUUUACUUUGUAACCUGUUUAUAGUGCCAGGUGAAUGGCCCCCGGAGCAAAGCAGGUGUGCUGCCUUUUGCAUCCUUCCAACGUCCCACUCCACGACUGGGACCCACCACAGGGUCCUUCAGGCUGUGGUUUACUGAAUGGUCUGCUAAGGGGCUUGAUUAUGAUCCCAAAUUCUCAGAGGUUUUUCUAGUCUGUCCAAAAUAUUUAUGUCUGCAACAUUUCAGACCUAUUUAUGUCUUUUUUUUUUUCCUGCUGGGUAAAAAGUAGUUUGGCUUUUACAAUGUGUCUGUAUAUAGGGUUUUAGUAACUUAGAUUGCUUUUAUAUGUUUAUAAUUAAAGUAACAGCCCCUUAAAAAUUGGAUUAUUGAUCAUGGGAAGACUGUAGAUGUUUUUAAUCUUUAGAAGCAGGACUACAAAUAAAUCAAAUUAUAUGAAGUAUUUCAUUUAAAGGCAUUUUGUUUUAUUGAAAACACUGCACCCCGUGUUUGCAUAAAUGUAAUAAUUCUGUUUCUUCAUAUGAGGAUUCAGAGGAAAUCAUAGUAGGAGUUAGACCUUCUCACUCAGUAAAGUGUGCUGAUGUCAAUAAGUCAAAAUUAGACUCCUCCCAAAUUGCAUAAACACUGAAAGAUUCAAAGUUAAGGAUUUAGAGGGCUGUAAAAUUCCCAUUUCACCUGGAGUUGUAAUCUUUUUGUGCAGAUGCACACAAUGCACUGUCUUUACAGAAAGUUUAGGACGACUGUUAUGUGUGCCUGUACGCACACCCACACAUACACCUCACCCUAGUGAUGAUGAACUGCAGCAGAAACACCCUCCCUGUCCUUCUUAUGACUGAGUGCCUGAAUCUGGGAGUUUGUUUUCAUGUUCCAGAUGUUUGCUCUGCUAGAUUUGACCACAGGAAUGUGAGGCCAGUGGGCUGAGUCUCCUGAAGCAGAGAAGAGCUGCAUUUAGCCUGGAGUUUGCACCUUCCACCAUUUCCAAGGACAAAGCAGGAAACUGGUUUUCUCCCUGGGAGAAGUCAACCAAAGAGGCAUUAUGCAUGCAAGGAAGCUGGUGGGACUGUGUGAAUGCAAAUGGUCUUUGUUAUUAACCAGCUCUCUUCAAGCUGACUGAGGAGCUGAAUGGAUCUGUCCAUUAAAUCUCAUCCCUUCAAAAGACAGGAACAAAAUCACCACUGUAAUGUUUUGACAAAGCAAAAACAUUUUUGUUUUCCAGCAAGAGUUUAGCUCGUACAGCUAUGCUGCCCUCUUAGGAUGUCAGAGAAAGAGGUUUUCCUAGUCAAAUGCUGCCCUGCCUCACCAGUCUACCUUACCCCAGUGAUGAAGUGCUCCAGCACCAGAAGUCACCUUCUGUGUUCAGCUGAGCUCAACUGGAAUCGUGCUAUCUAGCUGUGCUGUUAAGUGGCUCUGAAGACAUUAUGGGUGCAGAGCUGUACUGCUGUAUUUCAAGUGAUAACAAAAACUCACUGAAUAGAUUGAAGAAGUGUGGCUUUUUGUUGCAGCAAAUUGAGACCAUAUAGGCAACUCCAUCAUUGUGCUAAGGCAGCAGAUACAGCCAGUGUUUGGAAGAAAUGGUUCAUGACCCGAUGAUGCUUUCCAAGAGAUACAGCCAGGAAACAAAGAUACUGGGGGCUCCUCGGGUGGCAGGAACACUGGUGGAACAGGCGAGGGAAGCAGAAGGGUCAGACAAUGGAGAGAGUGAAGAGAAAGAUGCAGUGCAAGCAGGAAAAACCCUUUGCCAUGGUUCAGGCUUACUCUCGCACUCAGAGCUGGGGAGAAAAAGCAAUAGCUGCAGGAAAAGCCCUUUUCUGAAGACCGGCAGAGCAUGCCAGGAGGGUGCUGCAGCCACUGUCUCUGCAGCCAAAGCGAGGAGCAAUGCCACAAUCUGCAGGGGUCAAAUCCAAGAUCUGCAUUGAGAGUUUGGUCCAAUGGGUCCCUAGAAUAGGGGAAGGUCCUCACCCCACAUAGGGGUUGUCACAAGCAUCUGGGAGAGGGCACUGUCAGAUGCCGGACCGGAUGCUCACCUAGCAAGAAAAUGUUGAUGGGCUAUUACUGAAGUAUUCCAGUCUCUGAGCAACUGGCCCUGGGAAUACUGUGAACACUGGUGCCUCGAGUGUGAAGCAUGACCUGUCCAGGGUAGAAGGCCAGGAUGAUCCCCCAGGGACCAGACCCUGAGGAAGGGCGGCUGUGAGGCUAAGGGGAGAAGCCGAGCUAGCCUUGCACAAAUUCUCUGGUGGUUCAGGCUGGCCAAACUAAACGUGUCCCUUACCUUGGCAUUGUCAUGACUUUGACAGAAACACCUGGGACUGGUGUGGGUCAGAGCUGUCUCCUGGCUGACCCCACACAGGGCACUUGCUGCUACAGAAGGACUGUGCUGAGGGCAUGCAGACAUGGAACCCACCGCUGGCAGGGCUUGGCCACCAGGCUCGCACCCAGCUGACUCACAUUGUGGAGCAGGUGGUCAUGGCCAUGCUGAUGUGCACAUACACAGAAACCCAGCACAUGUGGUGCAGACAUCAGCCCUGGAAAGUACAGCGGUGGCCCUCACCUUCGGGAGGGGACCCCAGCAUGUGGCAAAUGAGCAUCAGGCCCCUGUGCUCGGACACCACACACACAUGCAGGGCAGUGCAGAGUGCCAGGCCCAGAAAACCCAACUUCAGGACCUCCAAGGGGGCACUUUUCUCCAGCUGAGGGUUUGUCCCCCUUCUCUUUGCAUCAGGUGAACCCACAUCAGCUGCACUGGUGCAAAGGAGAAAACGCAUUUGAAUAACAGCAGUAUAAAGGUGUAACAAAUGAAUAAAAUGCUGCUAAUGAGCCUCAUUGACAACGGCUAUUAUUUGCAUCUAUCACUUGGAGAUUAAAAAACAAAAAAAAGUGAAAUAAGCUGCAUGUGUUGUAAAGGGUCAAAGUUUCUGUGCUAACACCACAGCUUGCAGAGUUCUUUCCUGCUGUCCCUUGUGCCCCUGUUCCCUGCUGACCUGCUCCAUAUGUCCUGGGGAGCCAUGCUGGGGCCAUGGCUGCUCCCUGGAAGGAGGAGAGAGGGGUCAGAGGGGGUAGCACCGAAGGGAGAGGAAGAGUGUGGAUUGGGAGAAGGGAGCAGGUGAUAAAAAAGCUCCUCAAGGUAGGGGCUGAUGCUGAUGUGCUGCUGUGGUGAGCUGCAGUGCAUGACAAGACUUGUCCCAUGUCAAGGGUAGAUCAGCUUUCCUUUGACUUGAGAGGGUGUUGGUGUGUGUAUUAGCUAAGUCCAGGAAACAGUCACUGCUGCACUGGGUCUGGUCAUGGACAGUUGUGGUAUCCUCUACUGCCCUGUGAUUUGCAGUUUCUUUUUUAUUAUUUGCAUGAAAUCAUGCUCUUGCUGUCUCCAGGGAAUUUCACCUAAGUGAGCUUGCAGCAAAUUUCUCUUCCUUCAAAUCAUAAGCACAAACACCUUUGACAUAGUUUCUCUGCUUCUGAGGUCUCCGUGUUACUCACUUUGUCUAGGUCCUUUUUCAAGAAGUUAAUAAGCCUGGCACUGCAAGUCCACUGACUCUUAGCAGAAUAUUUCUUUCAUUCCUGAGGUCCCUUUCAUACCCAGUUUUCAUAUUAGUACCCUUCAUUAGCAUCCAUCCAGCUUUUCUUGUUAGUAUUACUGUGCAAUGCACUUUCUUUUGUAGUACCUGAAGCUUGUAAGACAACUCAGUUUGCCUCCCAGGGGGGGAGAAAGUAGCUGUAAUCUGUGUUCCUUGUCUUGAGUCUCUUGAAAGGACUAGAAAUCCCAAAUGCAGUAACUUGUGGGUUUUCUGUCUUAGAGAAUUAGGUUGUCUUUGCAUUACUGAGCAGGCAAACAUUGAGCAGUGCUUGAUCAAUAAGAGGCAUUGCCAGAGGUCUGGUAUAGUCUACUACAGCUGACGGUAAGUGUUGCUAUAGGCUAUGGAAUUAGGAAUAUAAAAUGUCAAAUGACAGUAAUAAUUCAUGCAUCCUGGGACAUAUAAAACCAACAGCAUGUCAAUAGCUGUGGCAUGCUCUGCAGAAAAUAUGCAGGAUUUAGAUGUUGCAGGAGUCUGUUUUAUUUUAAGCCACACUUUUCUUGGUGAAAUAUAGACUUUCCCUGUUUGUUGAAAGCAUUUAUUUUCAGUUUCAUGUUGCUACUUCUCUAUUAAGAUUCUAAGAGCCAUGCAGCUCAAAAGGGGCCCUGAGAUUCAAAAAGCAAAAUAUAUGUAUUUAUUGAAGAAAAACACAUAAAAUAUUUAUAAAACAGAGGGUGCAAUACUAUUUGAGAUUCAUGGACCAUUUUAGCAUUCAUAAAAGCAAAUACGGUUCUCAUGUUGGCUUCACCUGGAAUCAGACUUUACUAGAGGGGUUAGCCAGGAGGGAUCUGCCUCAAAAUGAAACUUAUUACAAUCACUUUGCAUUUUACAUAGAAAGCAGAAUAACUUGUGAAAUAAGUAAGAACUUCUCCAAUAUUCAUCUUCUUAAAAAAAUACUUCAGGAUAAUUAAUAUUGCUUGUCUCUUAUGAAAGAUACAGAAUAGGGCAAAUUACUGCAUCUGGGAGGGUACAGCAGGCAUAAGAAGAAAGAGUGUGUCAAUCUUAAACAUGUUCUCCCUGUGCUGUGGCUGCUUGGGAACCUAGAAGUGAUGGGUGCUCACUGGCUAAGGCUCCUACAAAAAUUCUUCAGAGAAAACCUUAAUGAGAAAAGGGAAAAAAUAUGUCCAAGCAGCCCCAUUCUUAUACUUUCAGCUGUGUGCUCCCAUGCUCCUCAGUUGUGGGUUGCCAGGCCCCCAUUUCUAUAAAUCUGCCUAAAAGUAGAAGGGCAAGACAGAGAAGUUGCAUAUCACUUAUGAUUAUAUGAGUAUAGGCCUUCAUGUGCAGGUAAUACUUCUAAAAGAAUGUAAAAUAUUAACUAAACAAAAAGGAGAAAAGGAAAAGCAUCACAAAGAAACCUACCACACAUUAUUGAAAUCUCCCUCUGUGAGAGGCUGAGGAUUCAAACGCAUAUGAAUCGUCUGCUCUUCCAUGUGACAGCAAUCCUUCUACUUCAGAGUUGCGCAGUCCUGGCUCUCAGUUGUCUACUUCAGAUUUUUUUUUAGUUGCAUAUUCUAAUAAAAUGUCUUAAAUAGAAGUUCCAUUAUUUGAAGACCAUAAAGUGGUUUUAGUGCAGUGGACUGCACCUACAUACACAGGCACCAGUAGAUAUUUUGGCGCAUCUUGCUGAAGAUAGCAUGAGACAGAGAUGAUGAUGACAAAAAUAAAAAAAAAAACAACCAACCAACCAAACUACAACGAAAAGAAAACCCACAAAUUUAAGCCUGCUAACUGUCUGAGACCUAAGAAAAGGGAUUUCUUUGUUCUUAUGAGAACAUCUUGGCUCGUUCUGCUCCUUUGGCUUGGUUUGGGGAGGAUGUAUUUUACAGUCCUCCCAUGAUACUUGGCAAAUGUAAAGCUGUCACGUUGGAUCCUGCUUCUCUUUGUAUUAAAAAAAUGUCUAUGGUGUUUAUGUUAUGGGGGGAAAAGUACUAUUUCUACUUAUUGUAUUUUCAUUGCCUCUUUUCUUAUGACUGUACUGUUUGCCAGCAGCCGAGGGGCCACUUUGAUGCUUGCUUUGAUGCCAUAGUUUAUUGUGUUGCACAGUUGAGCCUGUGGUUUUCCUUUCUAAUCAGAGCUGGCAUACUGGGUGAAAAAAAAUAAAAAUAAAGCUUUUCUAUAAUUAUGGUUAUCUCAUAGAGUCUGCAUUUGUUAUAGCUGCUGGGAUGCUGGAAAUUGGUAUUUGUAAAUACUGAUAUAUUCUGAUUUGUUUUCAAUCUCAAAGGUGUUUUUUGUCUGUUUCUGCUUCUCACCCCUGGCCACUCAUGCAAGCAGGCUUGCCGACCUGCAUGCUGAGCAGCUAUUGCCUCAGGAAGAUACCAGCCUGCAUGUGUUAGCCGGGUUAUUUGCAUGGUACAACCUUCAUCUUGUUCCCUCUUCUCACUCUAAGAGAUUAGCAUCCAAAGAAAACCAAAUUAAUCUUGUAUCAGUUCAUCCAGGAAAGUGAGUAGACAAAAUAACCAGAACAUUGCUGCUGACAGCAGGGACAGAGAGCAGCCCUCCGGGGUUGGGCUGUGCUGCGUGCAGCCCACCUCCACUGAACUGCUCUCACAGGUACAUGGCUUCACCAUGGGUUCUGGUAUAACAAGAGUCUCCUGUGCCCACAGAAAGACUCACUUGCUGGCUCCUUCUUUGCCCAGUUGUUCCAUGUGGUAGUGCCAGUCAGGACUUGUAUAAUACCCACUUGGAUGUAUCUAUUGCUUUUCUCCAUAUGUCUUGUGACCAUCAGAGGAACCACUCUGUUUCCAUUUUACUGAUGGAAAAGGAAAGACUUUGAGAGGCUGAGUGAUUUGUCCAGGAUGAUACAGCAAAUCAGCAGGAGAAAAAAGGAUCGGACCAUUCCACAUAGGAGUGCCAUUAACUGCCCCAUGGGCUUCCUGGGGAAGGCAUGCAGGUCCCCAAAGAGGCCGCUUCCAUUGCAGGAGCGUUCCUCCAUUAUUUCUGUCAGAUUAUUGCUAUGCAUAGUGGAGAAAUGCAAAAUGUAUUAUUCAUCUCUCCUACUCCUAAAAUCAAUACCUAUCAAAAUACAAAUACAAUUUAAAUCAAAGGGUACCUGUUGAGUGCAGGUCCUACUAAUUAGGUAUGAUUUUCCAACAAUUUCUUAAAUUAUUUAUCCAAGGGAUGGGUAGCAGGCAUUUUAUAUGUCCCAGAGUGAAUAUUAUAAACCUCUUGUCAUGAUACAGCAAAUGUGAAAUGUAGUGCGAUGCAGUGUGAUUUCUAACCUUGAUGAACUAAUGUAAUAUCAAUAGACAUCAAUCGUGCAAAAAAGAUCUGUCUCAUCAUAACAUCUAGCAAGAUAUGUCAAAAGUCAAUAAUCUUGUGAAAUGGACACAUAUCAGUGAAGGUUACAGACUGUGCUGCUAGGAAUCAAUUAAAAAUGUAACACCCACCUGCUACGGAAAUUACUAAACACCACCACCAAAAAGGAGGUUUACAUCAUGCAUGGACAUUCACCAUAAGAGCAGCUCCCUUCAGGCUGUCUGUAGCUCUGUAAGCAAUUCCACUGUAAUAUAGGGCCUUUUUUUUUUAUGCUGGUAUUGCUUAAUACCUAGCAAUAUCUAGCCCCAUAAUCAACACGCAAACAAAAUUUAACUACAUUUUUAAAACCUGCACAGAAAAGAGCCAAUGGUUUUGAAGAUUUUUAUGUACAAAUUUGGAAGCAGCUCUCCUGUAAAAUGAAAGGUUUACAAUUGUCAGUCAAUAACGUAGGUCAAUGUUCUUCAAUUUUUAAUCAUAAUGAUUUUUCUUAUGCAGCUGCAUUGGAUCUUAAUUUUCAUACUUAUACUUCCAUCCAUACAGCAGAUCUUAAGAUUCCAUCACACCAGCAUGCAUCAAGUGAAAAUUCUUGGUCCCAUGAAAUAGGCGUGAUAUCCUCUCACCAAAUCAUUUCAAAUCAGCGAUUCAAAAGAACAGUAUGAAAUACAAGAUAUGGUUUCUCCCCAAUUUUUAAAAGAGAAUGAUAAAAUUUACACUUUCUAAGCAUUUUACUUUUCCUCUUGUCAUCUGAUGAUAAUUUAAAGGCAAGUGUAGCCUUGAGGCCAAAACUAAAUAGUUGAACAUGGAGGGAGGUGCUGUGACUUCAAAGACAGCGAUAUGUGAGGGGCUGAAGUAAAACCAUCAGAGUAAUUCAGAGCUUAAACUUUUAACUUGGUGCUUUCCCCUGUAGCCUUAAUGGAGAUCAGGCUCCCAAAUAAGCCAUCAGGAGCCAGAGCAAAAAGCUGCAGUGGUCCAAAGUGCCUGUGUGCUUCAGCUGCUGCAGGCAGCCUGUGAUCAUACUGCACCGUCGGCAGUACGCAACUGCAAUUGUGCAACCAGGGAUGCAAGGCAGAGCUGUAAUUCCAAAUUUCAUGGCAUUUUAAAGCAUGAGUCAGAAUUUUAAUGGUAUUUCAACCUUCCUUAUUAGUUGCACAAUAAGCGUCUUUCAGCCAGUGUUCUGCAAAUCCCUUCCUGGUGGUCUGCAAAAGACACGGUUUGAAAGUCAGAGCGUUGGAGGUUGAAUGCUGGAUGUGUGGAAAUAGAUCAGCCUGAGCUGAUGGGAGGAAUAAGGGAUUCUGAAGAAGCAUUGAGUUAAGAUAACAUUGGAUAAUAAGGGUAGUAGCAAAAAGUAUAAAAAAGCAUGCCAUGAAUACAUUGGAUAUAGAGGAUAAAUUUGCCGUCAGUUAUUCAGCUGUCCUGCUCGUAUUUUUGUUGUUUUUUAAUUAGCAAAAGUUUGUCUGGCAGAGUUCAAUCUCAGAGUGUUUGAGUUAUAAAACCUAGCUGCAUCAGAUGAAAAUAGACAAUACUACAUUUAAUGUUUUUCAUUUUCUCAUUCCAUUUAACUGUGAAUGAGCUAUCAGGAAGGAGUAUCAAACAUGCAGAUACUGUUUAGUGGUAUAUUCUUCUUAUCUUCAUUAUUUUCUUUUGCCUAAUGUCUUUCAUAGAUGCUUAAAAAGUGCGUGAUGUAUAUGUGAUUGUAUUAGUGACUGCAAAGGUUACCUAAAUUAACAACAUGGACUAAUUUUGUUUUAAAUGGAGGGUAAGAGCACAUCUGUUUCAAACAGCUUUGUAAUAUGCCUUUUGUGAGUUCAGAUCAGAUACAGUAGUGGCCACUGAAGUGAGCUCCUAUACCACACAACUGCUUAUUUGCAUUAGUGCUAAAAAAUGCAUCUAUAAAAUGACACUAGCAUUUUGGUGCACUGAAAUAGGUUCCUCCUCUCCAUUCCCCUUGAAGAUUCAGCCCUGUGUUAUUGUUUCAUAGAUACUAAAGAAAAGCAUGUGUUCUUCCCCAUGGAGGAUGUGUUAUUCACUGUAUAACUGUACUGGCUAGAUAUUUUGUAUUUUGCUUGCACCCCCCUUCAAAAGAGGCAUGAAAUUUUUUCAUAGCUAUAACUAACACUGUUCUUCAGCCAUGAAUUGUUAUAAUUAUAUAACAUUAUGAAUAUAAUUGAAGUAAUAAAAGCAAAACAAGCAGUCUAGAUUAUAUAUCCGGAUUGUAUUCACAGGUUACAAGUGUGUGGUUUUGCUGUAUAUCACAUUGAUUUAGGAAGGGUAUAGUUUGGAAAUGAUCUUGAAAGACACCAGCUGAGGGGCUAUACCUUAUAUAUGAGCCUACGUCAAAUAGCUCACUUAAAUAGGGCAAUAUGCCUUUUUCCACAGAUGUGCUUUUCAAAGAUAGAGGUAUGGACAGCCUGCAGAUAUCUGCAGUGGGCAAACUGAAAGUAAACAAAUAGAAAUGUGUUUAUUUGACAAUUUUCUAAUGUAAAUGUUUUUGUAUUAAACUGCAGAAGGAUCAAAAAAAAGCUUUGCAGAAUAGCUUCUCCAUCAUGUAGCUAGGGUGGUAAAGGACUGCAGCAGUGCUGCCUUGGCCUCUGUUGAGGUGAAAUCUGUACUACACCUGUCAUGUGAAACUGGAAAAUGCAAUUAUAUUGGUUUUUCAAAGAGAAAGCUAAGACAUGGACAGAAACCACAGGUCUUCUCUGCAUACAUAAGGGAACUCUGUAAAAGCUGAGGGGUUGAAGAAAGCUGUGUGUAGGCCUUGGCUAAUGCCCUAAACCAUUAGACCAUCCUCACAAAAUCUGUGUUUCCAACUCUGUUUCCACUGAAAUCUGAAAGCAAACAUUAGCAGCCAAGAACAUCAUGCUAAUUAAUUGCCUCAGGAGGACACAAUUCCCAAGAUCUAAUGAAAGAUGGAAUCCAGUUCCCAUAUGUCCCAUUUGAUAGCCCAAGAAAACAUGCCCACAUUUUUCACAGAAACAGUGACAAAUGUCCAACUACUUGUCUCUAAGCUGAAUAUAACUAAUUACCAGGUCCAGAGAUGAAAAUGGCUGCUCAUCAGCACCAAGCCUGAAACGCUAGCCCCGGAUCUGUCACUGAUGAACCGUUUUGAUUCAGAGUGUUGAAGGCAUCUUCCGGAGGUGAGAGCUGAGCACCAGAGCACCUCUGUUCUGUCCACAGAACAGCAUUACCUCUGUCUUGCAUGCAGCUACCCUGUCAAAUUGCUGGUUUAUUAAAAAAAAAACAAAACAAAACCAAAAAAUCAAAAAAAGUUAGCAGGAUGUCAUGUUCUUGACAAAAUACUGGGGAGAAGAUAGAGGCAUCAGUAUAGAUGUAGUCACAGAUAUGUGCCGGGGCUGGUUUUUGCUGUGCUAUAGGCUUGUUCUUGCUUGAACUUGAAAUUCCUGUAGAUGGGAUGUUUAUUCCAGAAUGACAGUGGUGUGUAGCCCCAGAGAAACAACAAGGGCUGGAGAGCCUCGGCACUCCCUGGAGAGGCAGGCCUGUCUGUCUGUGGAAGCAGAGCCCUGUUUUGAAUGGGGGUGUCCUAUCUCCAUGUGGCUCUAAGGCAUGUGGAAUUGUUCAGCUGGCUUAAAGAGAUGAUGAUUCUUUUCAAUAUUUAUUGUUCGAAGGAUCCUUACAUGCACGAGAACAUCCUGUGCUCUGUAAAGACCGGCAUGCUGCUGUGGCUGUACCCACGGCUUGCUAUGUUCAGAGAGACACAGGUGUCAUCUCCAUGCAGGGGAAGAUGGUCCUACUUUGCUGGUGUGAGGUGUUUAGUGCAAUUCCCAGGUUUGUUUGAAUAAAGUUGAAUAAUCGGCUUGUUGUAGCAGACCCAACCCCACCACGUGAACAUCAUUCGCAUGUCACAGCAACAGUCCCAAUCCAGCUCCCUUGCUCAGAGGAUGGUAGGGAACAUCUCGAUGAUCACUGGGAGCCUCAGUGCAAACAGAGAAACAACAGGGUAAUGAGCAGGACUGUGACAGACCUUGGUGUCUAAUCCUGGUCUUUUGAGCCUCCCCUUAUCCACAUCAUUAGUAUUUGUUAAGUGGUCAAUUUUUGGAAACAUGCAACAUUUUCACUUUCCUCUUUUCCCUUUUAAAUAUGAUGCACAUGAAACUGCUAAUAUGAAAACAGUAUUUCAACACCUUGUUUAGUAAAAAUGGGCUCAAGGAAAGCAGGUACAAAUUGCACAGCAAAUUUUCAGCCUAAAUAUUAAAGAAAAUAUAUUUUAUUCUUGUCUAUCUUGAGAUUAAAGAGCAAGAAAAAAAAAUAGGGAGGUCAAGGUAAGUAAUUGUAGCACACCAUCUAUUGUGUAUUUCCUCAAGAUCUUUCCAGUCAUACAGAAUAAUGGCAUUUCUGAACUUCAAUAACUUCCAUGCAAAAAGGUACAUCAUUUUGACAGGACUCAGUAAAUCAUUUAAAAUCAUAAGGGCUACCAUUAUGCAGACUGUGUGAUAAAGUUAGAGACAGGGUAUUUUUCUGCAAUUGGUCUUCAAUUUCACUCUAGAUUUUCGGUGACAUAAAGCUCAAAAGGAGCUCCUGGUACUACUCUCCCAGAGAUGAGAUCAACACUUAUGAGUACAUGUUUUGAUGACACAGCUCAGAAAAUUGAAGGGAUUAUUAUUAUGGAAGGACCAAGGUGAUAAGUACUGUGUUAUAUAUGAAUAACUGUCAGUCAGACAAGCCAAGAAAGGUCAUAAUCCAUUAUAUUAAUGUCAUAAAUGUUACCAUAAACUGACAUUGGGAUGGUAAACUGGGAUUCUUGCACUUUUUAAAGUGUUGCCGUUCUUAGAUGAUACUGUGUCCUGUAAAGACAAGUUGAGUAUUAAUCUUUCUCUCAAAAUACAGGACUUUAAAGAUUUUCACCAUAACAGAAGUAGUAUUUCAAACAUUCAUAUUUUAUUUUAAAGAAACUGGCUGAAUUGUCACAACAGUAUGCAAGACACCAUGAACAGGUAAGGGAGGAGAAACCAGCAACACAACAAUUUCUAUUUACUGUCCCCCAUUGCUUUAUUUGAACUGUGGCUUUCACACCUGCCUCCCUCAGGCACUUCCAGGCCUCUUGCCCACAUACUGGGUUCUACUCCAGCUGAGGACAGGGGCAGCAGCAAGGCAGAGGUAGGAGCUCCUGCCCUGGCUGCUGACCACCUGAAGCCAGGACACUGCACCCUUCUUCAAAUCACUCCCCUGACAUUAAUAUUUUUUCCAAUAUCAAAUAUGAACUGAGGUGAUAUUCAGGAAUAUAUGACACUGGAAUGAGAGAGUGUAAAUCAUAUUUUAAAUCUUUUGUGUUGCUGAGCAUUUUCCCACCCACAGAGAGCAGGCAGCUCAAUGGAUGUCACCAGUGCAUGGCUCCUCUGAAUUCAUCCCAGGCUCCCAGAGUAUCACCGGGGACAGAGAAAGCAGCCUACUCUCUAAUGAGACUUUCUUCUUGCCAACACCACUGAGUGCUCCAUCCUUUGCUGACCAGUUAAGAGCCAGGACGAAAUUAUUGUCACCUCAUGUAAAUCUGCUCAUAGCGUAGACUCCCAAGUGAGAGUAAGGGAGGUGAACUCUGAGCCCAUCCAAAAUCAAAGUCUUGUGUCCACAUUCACUAGCACUACAAAUUCUACAAAUGAGUGGUAUCACCCUGAAAUGUGGGUGCAUUGGAGGUAAAAAACUACCCAGUUAGCACUGGACCACUUAGUUUUCAGUGUUGGGGGGGAAUGGAAAUGCAAGAGAAAUUUAAGGUGAGUUUUUACAUCCCACUCAGAGGCCAAAAGAGAAAAGCAGGGUAAGUACUUCUGGAAAGUGCCAUGCUGUAUUUACUGGCCACAUCAGAUCAGAGCAAUAGUUUUAUGUCAGACUUAAAAUGCAACAUGUCCAGCAGACUCAUGCUGAUGUAUGGUUGUGAUAACAUUGACGUAGGCAGGAGACAGCCACCAGUGAGUCACCACACCACUUCCUCCAGAAGCUGGCUGUCUACAGUAGGCAUCCCAUUGCACUGCUGAUCUAGUCUGGCUUGUACAGUCUACAAAUAAGCCGUGUUUGUGCUAUGCAGGUAAAUGUUCAGGGUGAAACCAAUAUGGGCUAACUUGAAUUGUAUAAAUAACUGCAAAUCAUUACCUCAAAUGAGAGCAUAAUGCCUGGAACCACAGGUAGGAAAAUACAUUUACAGACUAUCAAAUUACCUUGGGAUAAUAGUGUAAUGCUUUUCAAUGCUGCACUCUAUGUUCUUAUAGCUGAACAAAUAAUAUUACACAUGGAAAAGUCUCCAAAUUUCAAAGAGAAGAGAUUUCGUAAGCAGAGUGCUUCCACAGGAGAGACUGCCUUUUCUGUGUUAUUUUAGGGGAACAUUAAAAAAACCCCAACAAACCAAAUAAGUUAUUUUUUAUUACUUGGAGCUACAUAGAGUAGCAUCUGAUGAUAAACAAAACCUUUAGACAAUUUGUCUUUUUUAUAAUAUAACCUGCAAAGUGCUUCCUUGUUCAUAUGAGGUUACUUCUCUCUGUGAUUGCAACAAAACUCUUUUGAUCAAAUGUGUUUUCAGAACUGGCAAAACAAAAUCAAGCUGCUAUAGCAGUUUGCAUGUACAAGUUCUGUUUGAAUAUAAAAACUUUUGAGCACAUUUUUAGAGAAAAAAAAGUGGCCUUUGAAAUUUUGGAACUAAAGCUAUAUAUGUAUAUGCCAUAGUGCUAUUUAUGAUGUCUGUAGAAGUAUAUGACACCCAAAGUGCUUUUUGGAUGCUCCAAGGUAUAUCAAAGAGCAUUAACUCCAGCACAGCUGGGAAUGUUCCCAGAUUCACUUAUGAAUGCAUAUUUCUUAUAUCCUGUAUGUAGACUAUAGUUAACAUACAGAAAAAAGUUAAUAUAGCCUUGGUCAUGGAGAAUAAUCCACAGAGUAAGCCUAUUAGGUGAGUUUUAGCAUCUGCAUUUUUCUGUUCACAUCCGCUUGCCUGACAUAUGUAAUCUGCCUGGAUGUCACAGUUUACAUCCUAUUUUCAUUGGAGGAUAAUGAAACUUGCUUGGUGUCUUCAUCUCCUUCUCGGUCUCUCCAAGGAAUAUUUCUGCUUGUCAUCUCCUCCUCACCAGCACUCUCUGGUGAGAGUGAUCCUUAGCCAUCCUUUAUUAAAGGGUAGUGCAUCCAAGGCUUGAAGGAAACCAUACAAUUUCUCAUUGUUUGUGCAAAAUGGGUGCAAAACAUGUUACUUCUAACACAGUAAGAAAAUAAAAAGUGAUAUAGUAAUUUCCUAACCUGAAUUUUCUGUACUUCCUUUUCUCUCACAAUGCUCUGGCGUAUCACUAUUUUAGCAGCACUCAGUGGUUGCUUUCUGACGACUUAUGUUUCUCCUUAAGUCUUACAAAACUGCACUGUAGGCACCUCAGUAAUUUUAGAAUAGCUUAGUCUGAGAGGUAAAUUAAAAUUAUGGAAAAUCAGACUAUUUCUAAUGAGAUGGUUAUUACACUGAAUAAUGAUGAUUAUUAGUUCUGCUUAAUAAAACUGUCAUCCAAUGCAAAAUAUAUAUUAGGGGAAAUUACAUUACAUUAUAUUUCUAUCAACUCAGAAAUUCGGUGUGUUGCUUUCCCACAAACCAUGGGCAUAACGAAAUGUUAGACAGGGCUUCCUUUUCCAAAUAGGAUCGAUCAUGGAGCUUUCAGAAACAGCCCUUUAAAGCCCUGAUCUAAAGCCCAUUAAAUCUAAUGUUAUGAAGAUUUCUGCUGACUUCCGUGCCAUGUAAAUCAGAACUUCGCUAAAAUGAGCAGUGUUCUCUCCCAUUGUUUCUGCUAAAUACCUAGACAAUACUACAGUGGUGACUAUUUGACAGUAUUGUUAGCCUACCAAAGGAGACACACAUUUGUAGCCCCCUUGCCUCACUGAGCUCAUUGCUUGCUGGCACACCUGCUGUUCUGUUCUGAUGUACCUGGCAAAUUCGGAGAUGGACUCUAUAGGAUGAGCUACACUCUUUAUUUCCAAGGUGAAAACAGCAAGGAAUAUUAUCUAUUGGCUAAAAAUGAGAUCCUGCUGUAGAAACCUCAACACUGAAGCCCCAGACACUUAGAGGUGAGGCAACUCCCCAGAAGCCUUUUGGCUGUCCAGAGACACAACUGGCCAGGAAAUCUGAGUGCUCAGCAUUUUUUUGUUUAAAAGCAGGCACAAUAUCAAACCUUGCCUUCAGCAAGGACUGCUGUCCUGAGGGAUGAGACCCAUCCCUCUGGGAGGGUGGCUCCCUGCCUCUAUACUGCCACAUCUAUAUGGCAGUAAACUGCCAAAGGGGAAGGAAGGAGGGGGGAAGCCAAGAGUGUGUUUCUGCUACCACACCUUCUCUGUGUAGGGUUUAAUCUAAAAGGAUAUGUUUUUGUGGAAUAAUUUGAUAUAAACUAAGCCACAUUUUUCUUACAGAAAUUAUAGCUACAGCAGUGUAUUUUAUAGAGUCUAAGAGAGAUUAAAUAAGCAGCAAAAACUGCAUGACUCAAUAUGCAUCUAUGCAAACUGACCCAGUGAAACCAGGGCACAGAGGUGAUUGGGUCUAUCUCUGGUGCAUGUUGAAACCUGGAGAAACACAGAUCUUGCCAUAUAAUUUUAUUUUUUGAGAGCAGUAUUGCUCUUACAAAGAGCAAUGUAUUAAAUGAGGAUAACAUGGUUAAUAAGUCACAGCACAUGUAAUUCUAAGGUUUUCAUCAUGCUUUGAAACAUUUACUAAUCAACAAGAUUUCUCCUCUUGUGAAGGCUGUUUUGUAGAGUUCCAUAAACCAGGUUCAACAGACGCAAUUUCAUUAGCAUUAUAUUGUUGCCAUGGUAAUGUGGUACCAAUUCAAUUGAUGGGCUUUUCAUCCUGGGCUUAUUAUAGAAUUGCUCUUCCUGUCAAAGAUACAUCUAUAUGGAAACAGCAAACAGACCUUAUUAUUGGAGUACUAGCACAAAAUAUCAUCAUAUGCUAAUUUGGAUAGGAAUGUAUCACGUUAUUGGCACCAGACCCAGAAAUCAUCAGAGACACAAUAGAAGUUACUAAACAUUAUAUAUGGCAAAGUCACACUCCAAAAUCAGGAAAGUUACUUGUAUUGUUCGCUGUAGUACCUGAGCUUGCUAUUGCAAAAGCACUUGGCUCUGCUGUAAUCAUUCUCUGAAAUGCUCUUGGGAGGGCACAGUGCAAGUGGUAAUAUUAGAGGAAACAAAAGUAGUAACACGCCCAAGAAUAAAAUGUGAGCUGAUGGUAUGUUGGUCCUUCUCCUGUUUGAAUGUUGUGCAGCAUUUUUGGGGGAAAUUGGUACCACAUGCAACACCCUGUUUUCCUGGGCUGUAAAACCAUGAUGAUAAACCCUCUCCCCCUGUGCAGAGCACCUGGUGUACACCAAAUAAGGAGUGAUAGCUGGUACUGUUAAAUAUUGUUAUUAAGUAGCAAUAUUUUUAACAGCUCUGGGAAAAUACACUGUACAGAUCUACAGUUUGAGAAAUGCCACUGGGAGAAUCUGGAUUCACCCAGGGAAACACAGGAGAGUUAGCAGACUGUGCAUAUGUACCUAUGGAGGAAAGAUACUCACAUCAUUAAAAAUCAUGACAGUUUGUAGUUUUUUUAAAAAUAAAGAAUAUUUUAGGCUACAGGAGAAGUAUCUGCAGCAAUCUGAGCAAGAAGAGCAACAAUACAAUAUAAGGCAACAGCAGGGUGGCUUGUUUAUUGUAUGUUAAAACAUUUUCUUGUGUGUUUUCACUGUUUUUUUAUGAUUGCUUCCUAUUUAGAUAGGAAAAAUCUUUUUCAAUCCUGACACAUAAUGUUCAGUCUAUCGUUUCUUAGCUUAAUCAUGUUGUGUCCUUUGCAGUAGCAAGAGUAAAUUACAGACAGGAUAGUAUUCGGUAUAAUCAAAGAUGUGUUUCAUUUUACAUAAGUUUUGUCUGAUUUACAAAGGCAGUAUCUUCUCCAGCUGAGCAAGGAAAGAGAGACUUUCACUUGCUGAUAAAAAAACUCAGAGAAGAGGCUUUUCCUCCAUUAGGAACCUAUGGUUCAUACAAAGAAAACCCAAACUAUUGUUACCACUGUUAUCUAUUUAUUUACUUUUACCAUGAUAUAGCCACAGGACCCAGCUGAGACUGGGACCUACUUGUGCUAAGCACAGCAAAACCAUACAGCGCCACAGCCCCUUCUUCAGACAAUUUAUAAACUAAAGAGCCAUAAGAGAGACCAGAGAGGAUAGAAGAAUAGAGAGAGGGAGACAUAGCUUAAGUAACCGACCGAAGGUCAGAGAGGAAGUGAGUGGCAGAAACAGCACAAGUCUCUAGCCCCUGUACCCUUCAUUGGGUUGCCUGCCCUGUUGGGAGAAGGAGGUAUUUAGAGAUAUCCUCCACCAGAUUCUAAGGAUUCACACUCUAACUCAUGCACAGAGCCAUGCUUUACCCCCUAAUUUCAAUGGCUGCAUCUGUGUUGCUGAGCAGGGGCAGCCUGAGGCAAAGCUUGAAGUCCGCUGUGAAGCCCACCCGUAUUACCUAUUAAAACACCUUCAGGCUGGCUCCAGGGCAACCCUGUUAAUCCUCUCAGGGACAAAGGCUCAGGGAUACCCUAUGUUUUUUAAGCAUGUUCAAGGGCACCAGGGUCAGGGUACCUGCCAGAGAAAUAUUAAUGGCUUUCAACAGCACAACCGAAGCAAUAGGGAUCAGGCUUUCUUCCUCUGCGGUAGGGACUUUCAAAUCCAAGCCUGAACAGAUGGAGGGAGGCGGGGGAAAGAGAAGAGAUUUUGGUCACAAGAGCAAGAAGUCAGUUUACACCAGAAUUUGAAAGCUUUGAUCAGGAAGCAAUAUGAUGUCUUAGAUUAGGAAAGCAUUGGCUUGGAGUUUUUCUUGCUUUCUCCUUCUCUCUCUCCCCCUCUCAAAAAUCCAUAUAAUGUAAAACCGUUAAACUCUGGGUGAAGAGGCAUUCAUCUUCUGAUCGGUAAAUACUUCCUUUCACUGUGUGGUGUCUGCUGACUUUACUGCUGUUGCAGCCUUUUAAAAUGCUUCCAGGAAAUCUCAUUAGAUUUUAACUUUAAUUUUUUUUUCAUUAAGGAAUCUGAAGAGAGUGUAUAAUAAUCUCAAUUUAACUUUUUAAUAAAAACUGCAAAUAAUAGGCUAGCACAGAUUUGGUAUCAUAUAUAUAUUGGAUAAAAAUUCUGAUUUGUAGUAAGAUUUGUUAGCCAGGGGUUUGUUGUCAUCAUAAUAAUGAAUAUAAAAGCUGGCAGCUUUAAAAUGGCAAUAUUACAGUAAGCCUACAUUUUUUAUAAUGGCUUUGUGUUGUGCAUUCAGUAUUGAUGAAGACUAAGAUUUAGCACGCAGAAGUAAUAUCCAUCAUUAUGGGAUUGUCCACAGUGAAUUGAGUAGGACAUUUGCUUAAUUAAAAGUAUUUAUCUUAGAUGAUUUAACAAGUAUGUCCUACUACUGAACUGAUGAUGUAAAUUAGUUUCCUAUAAUCGGUUCACCACUGAUGACUCCUUAUACUAAAGAGAAGAAGAAAAAGGUAAGAGAAGAGUCAAAGGAAAGUAAAAGAUGCCACUGUCUGAGAAUUUAAUAGAACUUUGGAAAUAAUGAUUAAUUAACAGGAUGCCAUGAACAGGAAAUCUACAUUAUUACACCCCUAAUGCAAAGAACGUAAACAGAGCCCUAAAAGGGUGCACUUCUAGCAGAAAGUUUGGAAAUAAAAACAUAAACAAAUGCCCAGAUUCCCACUCCUACCCACUGGACCUGUGCCUCAGAGGCACUGGCAUUUAGGGAGCAGAGCUUGAGGAUAUGAGGUGGUAGAGAGCCUGGGGUGGGAUGAAGCCCUGUGGCAUGGUGUCUUGUGGAGUCUUGGCAGGGGCUGUCCCUGGCUUUGGGCAGGAUGCCAGGGAGCUGAACUACUGCAGCUGCCGAAUUUGGGUAGAGUGGAGAGCAAGGUCAGAGCUACAGGGAGGGCUGGAACUGGUGUGACCUGCUUCUAUGGGUGGUUUUAAAUCUGUUUAUAAAGACAUACUGGGUAGUUUUAUAAAAAUAUACUGUGUGGUUUAAUCUGUUAUGCAAACAUACUUUUAAAGGAGAGUCCCAUUGGGUGGAAUGUUUCAACCUAUCUCAAUGUUACAGCUGUACAGCCUAAGUUUCGUGGACUAGCCCAUCUUCCUUCCUUCUUCACCAUGCCAAAUCACCCAUGGAAAGCUGUAGAUCUUCAGUCUGUGGGGACAAUCUAACAACAGCAACUUCUGGGGGUGCUGCUACAAGGUAGGGCCACACCUAACCCUGUCAAACCAUCCCAUCAGCUCAGGUGUGCUGCUCACAUGAAAAGCUUGUGACUCCCACUGCAGAGACCUACUAGUCUGCUUCUUGGGAAACCUCCUGCCUGCAAGGCUGCCCCCUGAGACAACUAGACCCUCCAUCAGCCAGGCCCAAAAAUCACUUGCUGAAUAGUUUUGGCUGAGGUUUUUUGACAAAAUCUUCACAGACAGAGCCAAGAGGACGGGCAAGAAAUAUUUCUAUCCUUCAUGCCACAACUUGUUUUUUCAUUAUUUCUUCUUGUCUCCUUUUACACUCCAGGCAUUUUUUCUUUCUACAUAGGCUAAUAGGAAGAAAGGCUGUGCCCUACUCCAGUCAUUUAAUUUAAGUAAUUUUUUUUAGUUCUAAUUAUGAGCAUUCACAUAGCAAGUGACAUUUAUUGAUAUAUGUUACCUUUCUGAAACACUAGAAAAGUAUCUGGCCUGUUCUCUGCUAAUGCUUAGAUGACAUUUUAGGAACAGGAACCACCCUGCAAAGGACUGGACAUGUGCACAGGACAGGAGCUGUCAGUGAAGUGUGUUGAAUCUGGUUUUGAUCUGUUCAUGUAAUUUUCCAGGUGAGCCUUGGACUCUGCCUACGAUCUGUGCUCCCAGAUGUCAGCCUAUGACAGCAGAUGGAGGGACACCCGGAGCUCUGCUUCCCCCAGGCACUGCACUGGGCAUUUGCUGCUCCCAGAGCUGCCGCACGCCAUGGGACCCCCAGCUGCCGGAUGCCUGACCCAGCUCGACUGCUGGUGGAGAUGUGUUGGGGCUGGCUUUGCCCUGCUUGCUGCUGCCUGCAUGCCUUAUUCUUCUGACUUAUGCCCCAGCCCAUUCCCAUCCCAUUGUGCUGCUGCCUCUGGGCUGUAUUGAGUUUUCAAUUAUCACAAUAUACAAUGCAGAUGCUAUGUAAAACAGCCAGCAUCGCUGGAGCACGCUGAACUCAGUAGAAACACAGUUAAAUAAAAGUAAUACUAUAAUACCAGGAGGCUGAUUGGAACCACAAGAUACCAGUGUCAUAUCCUGUGGCUUUUAUGUUGGUAGACAUAGAUUUUAGCCAUUAGAGUCUAGCUAUCCAACAGAUAACAACCAGAGGAAAUGGGUCUGGGUAUCUUCAAUUGUGAAUAACUGAUACACAUUUGCCAAUAAAGGGAGGACUUGGUAAACUGCCAGAUGAAGAAAACAUUUGACAUACAUACAAAUAUAAUCAAGCAUUUAAUAUGGUGUAGCAUCUAACUAUGUGUAACUUAAAGAAACUCCCUGAUUACACACAAGAGAGCUCUGACUUCAGACAAGCAAUGUGUGGUUGCACUGUCAACUCCAAAUUCAGGCAAGGAGAUAAACAGCAAGUGUGGAUCUCAACUUAUAUAUUUGUACCAGCAGCAACAAGCUCCCAGAUGACAAUGAUAUUGUAAUAUCUAUGUGGGUGUAAAAUGCUAUGACAAAAGAGGAAGAAAUAAGAAAAAAUACAGUAAUGUCAAGUUUGCCUGUUAACUUUUACAGAAGCUCAGCAUCCGGAAUUUUAGUAUGUGUUAUGCAGACAAAUGUAAAGAGAGAAACGCAUUAACUGUGUUUUUCUCCAAAGCAAAAUGAAAUAAGCAUACAGAGCAAAUUAUUAUAUUUAGUACUCUCAGGGCAAAUUCUAGUUGAGGAUUGUGAAGUAAUUUCAAAAUAUUAAUGAAUUAGCCUCACAGCUAUCUUUCAGGUAGAUAAUAAUGAUAAUUGUUACUACAAAUAAAUAUUAUCAGUCUUGCUCCAAGAAAUGAACAUUGAUGCAUAGAGAAUUUAUGUCUUUGUCCAAAGUCUUUGUUUUACUACUGUAACCACCCUUCUCUAGAACUAUUAUAUAUUAAGAUUAUCCUUUUCCAAAUACUGUGUGUGACACUAUUCACUUUAUAAGGUCUAAAAACCAGCCAACUGAGCUUCCUUGUGAAACAGUGCCAGUGAACAUCUCCAUUUGCAUUUGAAUUCUCAAGCAGUGACAAUCUUGCUUUAAAAAAAAAAAAGAAGAAGAAAAAAGGAAUCAUGAAAAUCCGUACAAAAUCUGUCAAGGCCCCAUCUGUGACUGGGUAUCAGAAUAUCACUAAGAAGCUCUGAGAAACAAAGUUCAUUCCAAGUCUAACGCAUAGUGCUUUUCGGUCGAUGAAAUUAAUUCAAGCAGGGGUAAAUGAGGGCACAUACCAUGAAAAACUGUUCCUCCACUGAGGGUGGAAGGAAAGCAGCAUCACUGCUAUGUGUGUGGUCUUGGUUUUGGUGCAUGUAGCCAUCUUUAAAUACUAAAGGUUUUACAAGGCAAAAUAAUCAGUGUGCUCAUGACUCCUUUUGAUAGCCAGGUACACCUGCUGCUCUUCUGAGGAGUAUAAGGGAAUGAGUGAUCUCUGGUCCUGACAAGAUGAGGACUUAGAUUACAUAUGAUUGUUGCAAAAAGCAGGCUUUCAUAGCCAGCUACCUGAAGAAGUACAGAAACAAAACUCCACCCUGGCCUUGAAAAUCGCCUACAAACAUAUUUAUUUCCUUCUGGAUGGGAAUAUCUAAAGGUUAGAGACACUUAUUUGUAGGCUAUUUAUACAUCUCCUCUUCAGGACCUGAAUCUCGCAUAUUAAUGAAUUAACUCCGGGAAACAGGAGAACCAAAACAUUAACACCAUUCUAAUGCACCCUAUUAUUUUUCUUUUCCUUUUUUUAACCGUUAGAGUAUGCAAAUGUUCAGUUAACUGGUCCUCAUGUUUUCUCUUUAUUGAAUUGCUUUCACUACAGCAAAUAAAUAUUCAUAAAGAAAUGUGGACAAUAAAUCAUUUCAAAUAGUUCAAAGCCAUUUUCUUUCUAGACUGCAUAUAUUUUCAGCUGUAACUCGCCUUCAAUAUUUCAUUCAAAAGACAGACUUGUAGAAGGACAAUAGAGAUAAUGUGUCAAGUAGUAAUUAAAACAGGGAGUAAUGAUUAAAACCAUUUUGAUCUACAUUGUGCUCUGCCAGAUUCAUAUUCUCCUGUGUUUGUUAGGAUGGCUUUCUACUUGCUUUCUACUUUCUCUACUUUAGAAACUCAAAAUAAACUUCUGUUUGAAGACAUCGAAGAAAACAAAAGAUUUCAACCCUGAGCUUGUGGGUCUAGAGCCCUUUCCAGUUCUGGAGUUUAGGUAUAUCUUCUGUACCAUCCUAGCAAGAUAAAUGCAAGCAGGCACUAUCCCUCCUGCUGAUACUGGGAAGUAUCACUACUUCUCUGGGAAAUAAAUCCAGAUGCAGAGCAGAAGACAAGGAAGGGCCACCCGUGUGUACAGGUAAAUGUAACCCGUCUCACCAUUUAGAUUUAAGCUAAGAGCUUCAAAAGAAAUGAAAGUUAAAGAUAAGGUUAGCUUAUACGUUUAGGGGUCUUGGUUCAAAUCCAAGUAAGAAUUGUGUUCCUUGUCUCGUAUGUUUUGGUAUUCAUAAACAUAUUUGGCACAAACUCAUUCUCUUUUCUGAUUUGUUGCUGACUUUAGGCCCUUAUUCAACUUACAUACAGACUUAAAUAAAUCGAUUUAGGAAAGCAUUCCUCUUUGUGUUUAAUCUUGGGCAGACAUUCAACUUUGAAAUCAAUGAGACUUAUGAAUGGCCCUGACCUUUGGGUCUAAAUGGUUGCCAAAUCAGUGCACUGAUAGAAAUAUAUUGGAAAAGAUACUAUCCAUGUGUAAUCAAAAUUUUAGUCUCUACUUUCACAGGAAAAUAACCCAAAGAUAGCACAUUAUUUUGCUCAAGAAAUUAAUUUCAUAGUAUUUACUAGAAAGCCUUAAUUCACAUUUUCUGUUUAUGCCAAAAAUACCAGAUGAACAGUGUUGUUCCUUAAUAGCAUAUCUGUAAUAUUCUUUAAAUGAAAAAAUAAAAUAUAGGAAAAGUCCUGGCACAAAGCGGCAUUCAGAAUUACUUAUUGAUACCUUCUCAAUUGCCCACCACAAGCCAAUCCCUUGGAGGACAGGCAGAAGAAAGGCAAGGCAGUGUAGUUCUGAAAUCCCAUGGACUUGAAGACAAUGGCAUAUGGAAUACCACAUGAAACUCCUCCCUAAGAACAGCAUUUAUAAAGACUGCCUGCCCAGUUGUUUUUAUUACACAAUGAGAAUAGCUAGAAUAAAGACAUGGAUGUUUAUGGUAUCAUAAUGUACAGGUUAAACAAGUGCAAUUAUAGCCAAAUCUAUGAGAUUACAAGAAGUAAUUGGUAAAAUAAUUGAUGCUAUGAUUCUAUGAAAUAAAAUAGUCUUCUUAUUGUUCUUAAAAA
Molecule: long non-coding RNA, 44257 nt
Organism: Pipra filicauda (Wire-tailed manakin)
Lineage: Eukaryota; Metazoa; Chordata; Aves; Passeriformes; Pipridae
Exons: 4
Source: RefSeq, a predicted model, not a curated record